RNAcentral lists this long non-coding RNA (88273 nucleotides) under Populus tremula. Its description in RNAcentral is "long non-coding RNA (PTRE_LNC001607)". The stretch from base 42187 to 42342 matches the Rfam family "MIR2912 microRNA precursor family". Lineage: Eukaryota; Viridiplantae; Streptophyta; Magnoliopsida; Malpighiales; Salicaceae. The record is from RNAcentral.
GGAUAUAUAAAAUCAAAUAUACGUGGAUUUUAAAUUAUAGUUUACACUAUUAUAUAUAAAUUAUUUAAUUCUCCAGACUUGAGCACAAAAUCCUACCAUUAUCUCCCACCCUGAUUGCCGCGUGUAGAGCAGUUCUACCAUUCGGGCCGCCGUAGUCCACUGAGAUGCAAUUAGUUAGGAUUUCAUCGAUCACCGUUUCUCGUUCUUGACCCCUUCUGGAAGCAGCUGCAAUAUAAAGUGGAGUUUCUCCAUGAACAUUGGCGGAAUAUGAAAACUCAGGGUCCUCUUUUGUCAAUAUUUCCACCACUUGGGCUUGGAUAUUUCGAGCUGCCACGUGCAACGCUGUAUCUUGCUCUCCAUCGGCCAUCCUCAACAUCUUCUUUUCUUCUGUUACUCCGCUCUCUAGAUCAGUAGGUCGAGCUUUUGCGCGGUCAAUGAGGACUCUUACCACGUUGGAACGCCCAUAUCUUGCCGCAAAAUGGAGUGGGAUUUCACCUUUCUUAUUGGCCUGCAAUAAUAGUGGUGGACACUUUUCAAGAAUUUUAUCAACAAAAUCAGUGGAUUCUGAUUCUCUACGUUGGUUUUCUAAAGUAGACAUGAAGAAUGGUGUUCUCGUCUGGAGUCAAUAACUGAUCAAGGCAGGUUUGAUAUUUCUCAAAGGGACCGAUAUCGCCUUUAGCUGCAGCUUUGAACAAGACAGGAUCCAUAUAGGGCGUCAUACUAUUUUGUAGCUUAGAGAAACUCACUAAAUGAAAAGUAAACAAAUGAAGGGGAGGUGAAAUUAACCACUGUGGCUCAAAGGCAAGAGGUUCCACUCCUCAACUGAUCACAAGCUGCUGAUUUCUUCGGUAUUUAAAGGAAGAAAAAGCGUUAAGAACCACAAAUUACAUUUAUUUUCCAUUUUGAUAUUGUGUCGCAAUAUCUUUGAUUCUGAAACACAGAAUAAAAGGAAAGGAUUAUCAUGCUGACACUCUUCUUUUUUUAUCUGAUACUUAGACACUUGUAUAUAUUAAAGUAUCUCGCUACAUCAAACUUAAAAAGUGAAUUAAAAACAAACACAUGCGCAAGCAUAUGCCUGCGCGCGCACAUAAACUAAAUCAGUAUUUCACUGUAAAUAUUGGAUAUACAUUCAUAAAAACAUUAUUUAGCAAAGAAACUAAAACAUUUUAUCACAAUUUUAAAAAAAAAUAUAUGAGUAUUUUUUCCUUCUUUUAUAAGCAGAGAAUAUUGAUACUUUAACAUAUAUAUAUAUAUAUAUAUAUAUAUAUAUAUAUAUAUAUAUAUAUAUAUAUAUAUAUAUCAAAGUAUCUCGCCACACCAAUAUUUUAAUUUGGGACAUUAAAAAAUUAAUCGAACACAUUACCUAUAAUUUAAAAUAUUAUGAGAAAGUACAAUGACAAUAAUACUUUCCCCACAUUUUCCCCGCAUGUUUUUGUGUGGCUCUAAAAAAUAUGUUUGCUUUUUUUUUUUUCAAUUACUAUUUUUUUUAAUUUUAUCAUUUUAAUAUUAGUUUUUUUUUAUUGGGUUAUCUCACUCACAAGAUAUGAAUCGUGAGUUUGGCAAAUUAACCUAGUUGGCUGGGAUUUUAUUCUUCAUUAUUUAACUUUUUUAUAAUUUUAUCAUUUAAUAUUGAUUUAAUUAAGAAUUAGACUUUAUAAUUUAUUUUAUUAGGUUAAUCAAUUCUCAUAACCCAAGAAUAGAUCUUAGUAGAUUAAUCUUGAGUUGAUUUGAUUGUUUUUUAUGUUUUAUGUUUAAUUGAAUUUCUUUUCAAUUUUAUCAUUGAAUAUUAUGUCAGUUAGAAAUUAAGUAUUCAUAAUCUAUUUUGAUUUCUUUUUUAUUAGGAUAUCUUGGUCUCAUGAUCAAGGUCGCAAGUUUUGGUAUUUUAACCCUAGUUAAAUCAAGUUGUUAUUUUUUUUAUUUUCUUUCAAGAGGUCAUCUUGGUCUCGUACGUGUCCUUCAACAUUAUAUUUGUUUUUUAUUGGGUUGUCCAUGUUUCAUGACCUAAAUUGCGUAUUUGACAAAUUAAUCCAGUUGACUCAAUUUUUUUAUAACUGACUUUUUUCUCAAUUUCAUUAUUUAAUAUUGUGUUUGAUUAAGAAUUAGGCUUUAUUAUUUAUUUUAAUUUAAUUUUUAUGAGAUUAUUUUAGCUUGAUGACCUAAAAAUAGUGCUUAACAGGUUAACAUUUAUUGACUUAGCUUAUUUUUUUAAUUAAUUUUUUUACAAUUUCAUCAUUUAGCAUUAGGUUCGAUAGGAUCGAUUGAGUAUGUGUUGGAUUAAUCAAUAUUUUAUUGAUUGAUUUAUUAAUAAGAUAUUUUAAUCUGGAAUACUUUGAAGCUAAGAUUAUAUAAAUUAUAUAAAUGUAAUUGUUGAUUAAUUUAUAAUGUUUAAGUUUUUUUUCUUGUUUGGCUUAUCAUAAAAGACAAUAGAGAUGAAAUGCUUUCUAUAUGCUCUUGAACUUGACAAAUGCUCAAAUGUGAAUAAAUCACUCGUCAACAUAACUUCCUAGCAAGGCAUGUUGUUUUUUGGGACAAUAAAAAGUUUUCAAAAAAUCUUUAUUGUUAAUUCCCUAAGCAUAACUUCCUAGCAAGGCAGAGGAUUUUGAAACACGAAAGAAAAAGGAAAGGAAGACCAUGUUGUAAUUCAAAGUAUCUCGUUAAAUCAAUAUUUAUCAAACUUCAAAAGUGAAUUAAAAACACUCAUAUAUGUGCAAGCAUAUGCACGCAUCCAUUUACAUAAACUAAAUCAACAUUUUACUUAUUAGAGAUUAAAUUUUUUAUAUAUUUUUAUUAUUUUUUUUCUAUAUUGUUAUCUCAGUUUUAUAACCUGAGUCGCAAGUUUGAUAAAUUAACUUGGAUUUUUUUUAAGUUCUUUUUUUAAUUGAUUUUGUUUUUAAUUUCAUCAUUUUACUUUGAGUUGAUUGAAAAUUAACCUUUAUAAUUUAUUUUAAUUUGUUUUUCAUGGGGUUAUCAUAGUCUUAUAACUCAAGUCACAGAUUUGACAUUUCAACCUAAGUUGAUCUAAGUCAAUCUAAUAUGUUAUUAUCUUAAUAUUAAAAAAAAAUAUCAUCUUGAAUUAUUUUUAGUCAAAUUAUGUUUUUAUUGGUCGUCCGAGUUAUUUUUGGACCCUCAAAAUCAAUCAUGUCAUAUUGAGUCAACACUAACACGGUUUAAAUUUCUUUUCCACUAAAAUAUACAUUAGCAAUAUCUAAAUAUUUUUUUAUGUUCAAGAAAAAUUUGACUCAACCUACAAUGUAGCUAGCGCGGGUCAAUAAUCUAGUACACACACUAAACUAAAACAAUAUCUCAGUAUACAUGUACAUACAUUCAUAAAACACUAUUAAGAGAAUCAAACUAAAAAAUUCAAUCACAAAUUGUUUUAAAAUUCUUUAUUUUCUAUUUGUAACUAACAGUUUAUUCCAAAUAAUGAAUGUUUUUUUUUUUUAAUACAACUGAAUUUUAUUUGAUAGCAAAUCAAGGACUGAGUAUUUUAGGCAAAAUUAUUAUUAUUAUUAUUAUUAUUAUUAUUAUUAUUAUUAUAUGAAAAUAUACUUACUAUGAUAUUAAUUAUUAAUAACUAUCUAAUUAGGAAAAUUAAUUAUUCAUACUAAAUACAAAUUUAAUAUCAUUAUAUAUAUUGUUUCAAACAAAUUCCAAAUUUGCAUUAUUGUGAAAAAAUAAGAUUUUUGUGAACAUUUGUUUGUAGUAUAUGCUGGAUUAAUCAAUAUUUUAUUGAUUAAUUUAUUAAUGAAAUUCAUUAAUAUGGAAUACUGUCAAUCUAAGAUUAUAUAAAUUAUAUAAAUGCAAUUAUUGAUUAAUUUAUAAUUUUUAUGUUUUUUGUAUUUUUUUUCUUUGUUUUCUUAUCAUAAAAAACACUAGAGAUGAAAAGUUUUAAAAAACAUUUUAUUGUUAUUUCCCUCUUCUAAAGCAUAACUUGCUAGCAAGGCAAAGGAUUUUGGAAUACAAAAGUGAAAAGGAAAGGAUGACUAUGCUAACACUUCUUCCUUUUUUAAUGUUCUUUAUAAUACUUAGACACUCGUGCACAUCAAUGUAUCUCACUACAUUAAUAGUUAUUGAACUUAGAAAGUGAAUAAAAAACACACAUUUAUGAAAUUUUAUUUGAUAGCAAAUCUGGAAUUGACUGUUUUUGUUUGAAAUUUUUUUCACAAAUUUUGGCUAAAAUUUAAAAUUUGUCUCAUUAUUGAAAAGCAUCAUCAUCAUUAUUAUUAUAAACCCAAUUUUUUAAUUUAAAAAAAAAAACAAAAAAAAUAAAUGGAUUAAAAAAUAAUUUGAGAAUUGGGUUAAAACAACACAAAUUGAAAGUUUGAGGAUUAAUAAUGAUGGAAUUAUAAAUUUGGUAGUCAAUGUGGUAAAACAUUAGAAGAAUUAAUAAGUUUGGGGACUUAAUUAAACUUUGAUUUAAAGUUCAAGGAUCAAAGUGCAAGCAAUUAAAGUUCAAGAAUCAAAGUGAAUAAGCAGUUACACUAUAGGGGUUAAUUGAUUUUUUCAAGGGUAAUUUUGAUUGAAUUAAAAGUUAAAAAGUCAAUUAAGGAGUGAAUUGAUUAAAUUGGAAACCAAGUACUGUUUUGUAAAUGGCUUUGAAAUUUAGGGAUUCAAUUGCAAUUUGAUUUAGGGGUAACAUUAAGGAAAAAAUAAAGAUUUUUCUUGAUUAGAAUCGUAGUUAUUUAGUGUCAAAAGUUUAAAGGUCAAAUUAAAAAUAGUUAUUUCGAGUGUAACAGUGUCAUUUUCUUAUCAUCUCUUCAUCCUCCUGAAAACCGGAUUCACAGGAAACACAACCAAAAAAAUUAAAGCUGCCAAUAUCCCCACCCCACCCACACGAUGAAUCUCCUGUUCAACUCUGAGAACCAUUGUAACGCAAACAUAAGAAAUGAAUUAGCUAAUGUGUUCAUAAGAAACAGAUAUAAAACUGUGGUACAAGGACCACAUGCAAUCGACUUUAUUCCUGCGUUUAACAGUAAAAACAUCAUAAAACCCGCAGAAACCUAUGACAAAUAAUAUCGAUUUAUGGCAAACUUCUUAUAGUUGUAGUUAUAUCAUAUAUAGGCUUUGAAGAGGUAACUAGCUUCUUAUCAGCAAAAGAUAUAUAAACACAAUCAGCAAACAAGCCACUUCAAGAUUUUACGAUUUAGGAAAUCAAAACAACCACAUGAUUUCUGACCAUAUGAUGUCACGAAAUUUUUUCAAAAACAAUAAGAAUUUUUUAAAAAGUACAUCUUUUAUUUGAUAGGAAAUUUAUAAUAGAUUGUUUCUCUGGAAUAACUUAUCUUAAAAAUCCUUGCCUAAACAAACUAAACAUUAAGAGCGUGAUUGAGAUUAUAAUAAUGAUUUAAAGAAUUUUUUUAUUUGAAAAUAUAUUAAAAUAAAAUUUUUUAUUUUUUAAAAUUAUUUUUGACAUCGAUAUAUAUUAAAACGAUUUAAAAAUAUAUAUUUUUUAUUUUAAAUAAAAAUAAAUUUUUAAUUUGUUUUUUAUAAAUAUAAUUAAAGAAGCUUAAACCAAUGAGUCAGACAUUGAUAGCAAGCCACAAGAAAGGUAAUUAAUAUCCUAUCAUGGUAAACAACGUGGCAACCCCAAAUAAUAUCCUAGUGGUUUCCUUGUCUAUCUUUUCAUCCUUGACCAUUUCCGAACCUUGAAUCAGCAAAAUCAAAAAGUGAAUGAAGACAGCAAAAAUUGAGAGCACCAUUGACAUUUCAUUUGAUAUGACAAAUACGAUAAAAGUAGUUUUUUUUAGCUAGAAUUGCAGUGCUCUGAUAUGACAAAUCAUCCCCUUUCUCUUUAUUUUUCUCAUCAUUCCCUCUUCUCAAAACCUGGCGCCGGCUGCUAGGCGGUCCACUGCCAACGUCUUCUAGGGAUUCUAGGAUCUCUUGCUGCAAAAAGCUUAGGGUAAAAUAUCGUAGAUAUCCAUCAUUUUUAGCUAUUUAAUAAAUAUCAUAUAUCAACUUCCGGGCUUUUAAUUUUCAGAUAACCCAAUAUAUUAUUGUUUAUUGUUACUCUCCUUAAUUGCUUGUAAGAUUAUGUUAAGUUUUUAUUUGAUUUUUCAACUUUAAUUUUCAGAUUUUUUAAAUUUUAAUUAAUUGUUUUGUUUUCAUUCAUUUGUACUACUUUUCGUUUUUAGAUGGAAGGGCUUGUUUCCUUCGUCAUCCUUCUUCGUUUUAAGUCUGUCAAGUUAUGGAAUCUCCCAUAGUUAUUGCCGCAUGUAGAGCAGUUCUACCAUUAGGGCCGCCAUAGUCCACUGAAACGCAUUUUCCUAUGAUUUCAUCGACUACCUUUCCUCGUUCUUCGCUCCCCCAUGGGAUGAUGGAAGCAGCAAUAUAAAGUGGAGUUUCUCCAUGAACAUUGGCGGGAUAUGAAAACUGACGGUCCUCUUUAGUCAAUAUUUUCACCACACGGCUCUGGCUAUUUCGAGCUGCCUCGUGCAACGCUGUAUCUCCUUCUCCAUUGGUCAUCCUCAACAUCAUUUUAGCUUUAGUUAUUCUGCUCUCCGGAUCUGAAGGUAGAGCUUUUGCACGGUGAAAGAGGAGUUCUACCACAUUGGAAUGGCCAUAUCUUGCUGCCAAAUGGAGGGGGGGUUUCUCCUUUUUUAUUGGCUUGGAAUAACAGUGGUGGACACCUUUCAAGAAUUUUAUCAACAAAAUAAGUGGAUUCCGGUUCCGUUGUUUGGUUUCUUAAGUAGACAUGAAGAAUGGUGUUCUCGUCUGGAGUCAAUAACUGAUUGAGGCAGGUUUGACAAUUCUCAAAGGGACCGAUAUUGCCUGCUUCUGCAGCUUUGAACAAGAAAGGAUCCAUAAAUGAAAUGUAAACAAAUGAAGGGGAGGAGAAAGUACUGUGGAACAAAGGGUCCACUCAACUGAUCACAAGCUGCUGAUUUCUUUGGUUUUUUUACAAAAGAGAAAGCAUGAUAUAUGAAUCAUGUUUAGGACCUUUUUAAAAUCAUUGCCAUAUAUAUAUAAGAUUUGGGGUUCUAACAAGAUAUUCAUGUUAAUCACAAAUAGAAUCAUAAUGCAAAUAACUUCAUCUUUUAGGUGAUUGUUGAGCAAAAUGGCUAUGGAUGGAGUUGGCUAUUAACAAGAAGUGGAAGUGUAUUUCCCACAAUUAUUACAAUAUUUCUUCAAGCCAAAAUGAACUUGCUGACAAAUUAGUAAGUAACUGGCAGCUGUCAUCAAAAUAGAGUAUUAAUAAGAACAGGGGAAUUGGUACCCGUCGCCAGAGAAAGGCCAGAAGAGUGGGGGGGACGAACGAACGAGAAGAAGAGGACAUGAGUGGAGGAACGAACAAAGAAAACCAGGAAGACAGAAAAAACGAACAGAGACUCAGAAACGAAAACAAAGACCGAGAGAAAGACGAGAGGGCGAAGAAGAAAAACACAGAGGACAAACAAGAAACAGAGAGCAGAGGAGAAAGGCAGAAGGGGAGAGACCGAGAGAGAAUUAAAAGAAGUAAGACCAGAAGAGAAGCACGCGAAACACAGAAGUACAGGGAAGAAAGUAGCUUUGGCCAGCCAUUACACCUUCGCCAUCGUCUUCGUCCCCAAGCAGCACCAGAAAAACAUAGAGGACAAACAAGAAACAGAGAGCAGAGGAGAGAGGCAGAAGGGGAGAGAACCCAGAGAGAAAAGAAGCAAGACCAGAAGAGAGCGCACGAAAAACAGAAGCAGAGGGAAGAGAGUAGCUUUAGCCAGCCAGUACACAUCCGCCAUUAUUAAUAUUUAAUAAUAAUAUUAAAUGUCGCCACGAUCUCGAUUGCCUCAAAAGACAGCUUUCCUGUUUACACUACAAGGAAGGUUAUGUCUCGCUAAAUUAACUCAUAAUUAAAAAACCAAAAACCUUAGGCCACAAGCUACGAAGCACCAAACCAAAAAUAAAAUACAAAUAAUCAAAAUGAAUAUAUGACAAUUAGCUCUUUUGUUUAUUGAAGGCAAGAGGCCCUUUUCCUUAAUUGAAGCAUCAUUUAAUUGAUAGUUGAUUUCUUGUGCUUCUGUCAGUUGUGGGUUCCGGUCGCCGUUAGACUCUAAGAUCUAAAGCAAAAUUACUGCGACCCCUUCUGGAUGACAUUGGUUGAUGUAUGGUCCAUCUGCAGUGGCACAAAAGCAAUGUAUUAUAGAGGGGAUUAAUUAAUAUAUCGGCUGAGUAGCCGAGAGAGACAUUAACACACACGUACUGCAGCAAUAUUUUCUGAAUGGAGGAGGGCGGCAAGAACACUUUGCCAACAACAAUCCUUUACAUGAUUAUGGCAGGAACGGCUUUUUUUCCACUCAUGAUCACCUGUAAUUGCAGUACGUCGAUGAGUUAGUACACUUCAUAUAAUUAAUUAAAUAGUUUGAUUAAUGGCAGAAAGUUAAUACAGACACAACGCCCAUCAAAACCUAAUGCAUCAGGUCUUGGUUUAAAACACAAAUUCUUGUUAGCAAAAAUUGCUAGGAUUUAUAAAUGUUUUUGUUUGUAAAUGGGCAUUGUAUAUUUCUCAAUUUUUCUAAAAAAAACUGAAGAGGACUAAAAGCUAUUUCCAAGUGCUCCACUAUAAGAGAAAAAUUUGAAAAAAAAAAUGUUAAGAGAAUAAGAAUUAAAAGUGAAUUAUCAUAUUUGAAGAAAUUUUAAUUGAAAAUCGAUUAACUUGCUAAUUUCAAUUGUAUUGUAUGUGAUAAGGAUAGACCUAAAUUUGCUUCAUACGUAUGUGUUAUUGACCGGAACAGUUUGAUUGGAUUAAAACGAAACAUGUGAAAGUAAACACGACUAAUUAAAUUAAAUAAAAUCAACUAAGAAAAAUAUUUUAUGGAUAAUAGUAAAUGCUAAUAUAAAUCAAGUCAAAAUCUAAAUUAAAUAUAAUUAUAAAAAAACUUAAAAUCACUUAUAUAAAAUUUAAAAAUAUAUUUAUGGUUUUAAAUGAGAAAUGGAAUAAAAAGGGAGGGACAUAUACCAGAGCAAAGAAUUUUUCCCCUUCAAAAUUUCUUUAUCCCCUUACCUUUCCUCCACGAAAUGAGGGUUAAAUGAUAACCUCGUUAAAAUGAUUCUCUCUUUCUAAAUUUGUACCAAACAUGAGGGAUGAAAAUUGAAAGUAGGGAACCUCUCUUACCCUUAACCAAAAUUAACCUAAAAACCAAGUUUCUUGUUUGGUUCACUUUUUUUUUUUUUUUAAUUUUAAUGUAAAACCAAACGAUAACUUUUAUUUUCUAUUUUAAAAAAUAGAAACACAAAAAACAAAAAAAUAAAUCAAGUAAAGGCAUCCUAGAAGUCAAAACCUCAAGAACAACAACACUGACAGGAAGAGCAAUAAUUAAAGAGCAUAUUUGCUGACUACGUACAGAGAUGAUCACAUAUUAUUAUUUUUUUUAAAAAGGAUGUUUACUUUUUGUAGUACUUUAUAUAAAUCUAUCUAUAACUCCUCCUCUUUUUUUUUAACAUGCAUCAAAACAAGAGUUAUUAAAAUUCGAGCUUUGAUUUAAUUAUUUUUUGUUCAGAGAUAAUGAUGUAUAAACUGAAGUCGCUGUAAAUGAAGAGGGGAUAACUUCAGAUAUUUCACCAACUCAGAUUUUAUACAUGGGAUCGUACCAUGUGCUGUAUCACCAGGCAAUUGGGAUGGCCGACUGGUAGGUGUUGUAGACAAUGUUGCUGGUGAAGAAGUUUUCGCUGUUGCUGCUGUUAGCGGCCGCGUCAGUGAUAGAUGAUGGCUUUGUCGUUUCAACAAGUGAAGUAAUGGUACCAAAACUAAUUAGAAAACCCGCAGUACUACUCGAAGAUGCUGAAGGGUCUGAAAUAUGAGUUGACGUUUUCGUUCCAUUGUUUUUAGAAGGUUGAGUUUGUGAAGAUGAGAAUAUGUCUGGGGUUACAGAUGGUUGAAUUUGUGAUGUUGGUGACAGUGGCAGCAGCUGUUGUGAAGGUUGAGAUGGCGGCUGUUGUGAAUGUUGAGAUGGCGGCUGUUUUGAAGGUUGAGAUGCAUUGUUGUUCAUCGACUCUUUGUUAUUACGCGUAUCCCGGAAGGUUGAGAAUAUGUCUGGUUUUUCUCCCUGAUGAUCAGGGGUUACAGAUGGUUGAAUUUGUGAUGUUGGUGCUGUGGCCGCAGCUGUUGUGAAGGUUGAGAUGCGGCGUUGUUCAUCGACCUUUGUUAUCACGCUUAUCCCGGAAGGUAUUGGGUGGAAGAGGAGGAAAGUCUCGUGGAGACUCGAUAGCAUAAUUUUUAUAUGGAGGCUUCCUAGCAAAGUUAUCAUGGUGGGAAGGUACUUUUGAUCUUGAAGAUGGAUUAUUGUGAUACCAAUUUGUGUUAGGAGAGUAAUUGGCAGCACUCUCGCGCACCAUUAUGACCAUGUUCACCGUCUCAAAACAAUCCAGCCUUUUUUAGAUAGGACAUAUUUGGGAUGCUAAUACCUUUUAUUUAUGCAAUCAGUCCUCGUACACAAUCUCUUAAACCAGUUAUGAUUUCUAAUGACUAAAAUACUAGAUGGCGACUCUCAUUUUAUUUUUCCACUCAUAAAAGAUAAGAAUUCUUUGUCUUCCUACACAUUUGCCAGAUCAAUAGAAAAUAAUAAUUUUGAGGGUGGAUGCUUUCGUCGGGACACCGUGUUAAAAAUUAUACAAAACACAUAUGCUAAUCAUCCGCUGCAGAUAAAGGAAACCAUGUAUGGUGCAUACAUAUCCUCUGAAGACUCCCUGUCAACAUACAAUUCCAGCUGAAACAAACUUCUAGUCAUUGUAUUUACAUUACAUACAACUUGUAAUCUAUCCUAUAAAAAGGAACUCACAUUAAUAAAGAAAGUAUGUUCAACAAUUUUCUAUAUGGUAUCAGAGCCUACCUUCUCUCACGAGACUCUCCAAUAUGGCCUCAACUAAAGAUGCUGUCAUCAUAAACUCUGAAACUCAUAGCAAUGGUGAUACUCACCUCAUUGCAUUCAAUGCUAGUUCUCAACUUCCCCUGAAACUGACACCCUCAAAUUUUCCCUCCUGGCGUGCUCAACUAAUGUCCUUGCUAAUAGGUUACAACCUACAAGGACAUAUUGAUCGAACCACUAGUUGUACAUCUCAAACAUUACAUGAUCCAAAUACUGGAUUAUCUACUGCAGGUGAUUCAAAUCCUGCUUUUUGGCGUUGGUUUCGGCAAGAUAACUUGCUCCUUCAUGCAAUCCUUGCAUCUGUUUCAGAACCAGUUUUGCCACUAAUCGCCACUUCCACCACUGCUCGUGAUGCAUGGGUAAAAAUACAACGAUUGUAUGCAAAUCGAUCAUGCACGCGUGUCAUGCAACUCAAGGAAGAGUUGACACUUAUACAAAGAGGAAGCCAACCAGUUUCAGAUUACCUCAACACUGUCAAAAGGCUAGUUGAUGAACUCACUGUCAUUGAUACUCCCAUAUGCAUAGAUGGCAUUACGUUAUAUAUUCUCAAUGGAAUAGGAGCAGAAUUUCGUGAUAUAGCAACCAUGAUACGAACCAGAGAAACAUCCCUCACAUUUGAGGAACUCCAUGAUGUAUUAAUCAGUCAUGAAAAUUAUCUCAAGCAUAUUGAUGCCUCCAACUCCAGAUUAAUAGCCACUGUUAAUGCAACACAACACAGCAGAUACUUCAAACCAGGACGCUCUUCAAACCCUCCUACUGGUUACUACAGGUCCAACCAACGGAGAUACGUCCCCAGAGACAAAUCCAGUCAGCCUCCACUAAUUUGUCAACUAUGUGAUACCAAAGGACACUCAGCCAAAACAUUGUUGCUACCCAAUUUUUGACCCUUGUUUUUGAUAUGUUUUCAAAAAAUCUAAAAAAUUGAGAAAAACAAAGAAAAUCCAAAAAAUAUGUUUUUUAAUAUAUUUUUGUCAUUUUAGCAUUUUCAACGUCGUCUAAAAAGAAUUUAAAUUGUUAAAAUAUUUUCAAACGCGUUCGACUUUUCACGCGUCAUUUUUAAAAUCAUUGAUUUUCCGCAUUUGAGUCGACGUUGAUAUUGCUCGUUUUCAAAAAAUACAAAAAAUAAGAAAAAUCUAAAUUUACAAAAAAAAAGAAGUUGAGGGACCAAGUCGAAAGACCUAGCAACAUUUUUGCCUAUAAAUACCAUGCUAAACUGAUUUUUAAGGGGGGGGGUAAUUUUGACACUUUUAGAAGAAAAAAAUACAGAAACCCUAACCCUAAAAAAAAAAAAACUUUUUCUUUCACACCAGCCGCCCCCCUGGUUUUCAUUUUUGAUCCCCCGGAGUUGCUCCUCGGUUUGAUUUUUCUGACCCAAAAAAAACCGGCCACCCGAACCAGCCUCCCCCUGUUUUCAUCUUCUUCUCCGCCGUUCCCUUUCUCUCGGCCACAAACAAAUCCAAAACGCAGCCCCUUUUCUUUCCAUUUCUUCUCCCUCACCGGACCCAAACCAGCCUGCCAAGACAGCUCCCUCUCAGUCGUUCCUCCUUCUUCAUCGUCAGCGACCCGCAACCAUCAAGGACUCAGCUCGGACUGACCUCCUUCUCAGCCACCAUGAGCUGACCACCAUCUCUUCUCCGUUCAGCCUCCAACAGCAGCAGCGCCGUCCUCGGCAGCGGCCACAGACCCAGCUCACCGCCUCCAGCAGCGGCACGCCCACAGAUCGCGAUCUGUUCGCUCCUCCGCCUCAUCAUCAACAGCGCCUUCUUCCUCUCCGCAGUGGCCACCGCAGCCGACCAUCACCGGAUCUGCAACCGGCGAAGGAAGAGAGCAGACCUGCAAAAAAAAAAAAACAGAUCUAAAAAACGAAACAAACAAACAAAAAGUUAAAAUCGACUGCCGUGUGUGUUUCUUCUCUUGUUCUGCAGGUCGCCGGUGGUUUAGGAAGACAAGGGAGAAGAAGCCGGUCCGAAGCCUCCAUGUUUCUGGUUUUUUUCCGUGGUGGCGCGUGAACCCACGCGCCGCCAGUGGCGGGGGUGCGUGAGGUCCACGCGCCGGAACUAUUCAUUCAUCCCCAGAAGUCUUUCCGUACAAAUUCGGGAGUUUUGAGGGACCAUUUUGUAAAUUUUAAAGUUUUAAUGUAAUUUUUGUUUAUUUAUUUUAAAUUUGUAAUAUGUGAAUGUAAAAGAAAAAAAAAGAAGAAAAAAAAAAGAAAAUAAUAAUAACAAAGGGGAUGUGUGUGUUGGUGUAUUUUUAUUUAUUUAUUUUGAAUUUGUAUUUGUAUUUGUAAAAGAAAAGGAAAAGAAAAGAAAAAGAAAAGAAAAGAAUAAAAAUAGUGAAAGUGUAUGUGUGUGUUUGUAUUUUGUUUUAUUUAUUUGUAUAUAUUUUUAAUGAUAAAAUUGCAAAUAUAUUAAAGAAGAAUUUAAUAUUUUGAUUGGAUCACGGUUAAGAAUUAUUAACUUAUACGUAAGUGAUAUUUCUAAUUUCCGAUGAAAAAAACAAUUAUUAAAACUUCUUUAACACGUGUAUGUGUGUGUUUGUAUUUUAUUUUAUUUAUUUGUAUAUAUUUUUUAAGGAUGAAAUUGCAAAAUACAUUAAAGAAGAAUUUAAUAUUUUGAUCGGAUCACGGUUAAGAAUUAUUAACUUAUACGUAAGUGAUAUUUCUAAUUUCCGAAGAAAAGACAAUUAUUAAAACUUCUUUAACACGUCAAAGCCACGAAGCAGCUUACCUCAGGUAGGGUGCGUUAGGGGUGCUAAUACCUUCCCUAACCACAACCAGUCCCUUACCCGCGAAUCUCUGACAAGACCAGUAUAUCCGGUUUCCUAGUAGCCCGCAAUCAAUUACUAGGUGGCGACUCCAACGUAUGAAUUCAAAGCAAACACAACAACGAGACUUAAAUCGCCAGCCGAUGCCGCGCGCUGAUUUUUUUUUGGGGUGCGACAAACAUGUCGUAAGGUAUCAAGGCCAAAAACUGCAAAUUGUGCAGCUACAAAUGGCACACAGGAGAAGAAAUGGCUCAUGGACUCAACAGCAUCACAUCACAUCACCUCUGAUCUUACAAACCUCUCAAUUCACUCUGAAUACGAUGGAACAGAUGAAGUAGUCAUCGGUGAUGGCUCAGGUUUGAAAGUAACACAUGUUGGCUCCAUGUCAUUGAGCUCAUUGUCAAAAUCCUUUCUUUUGCAUAAUACUCUUUGUGUCCCAGAUAUACACAAGAAUUUAGUCUCUGUUCAUAACUUUACCCGUUCAAAUAAUGUCUACAUAGAAUUUCAUCCAUUCUAUUUUCUUGUGAAGGAUCGGAACACGGGGACAACAAUACUUCGCGGUGAUUGCCAGGAUGGUGUCUAUCCACUGCCACAACUAUCAUCAAUCAAGAAGCCUUCAGCACUUGCACUUGUUGGUGAAAGAACCUCCCAUGAUCGCUGACACACACGACUUGGUCACCCCUCCACCAAAAUCUAUCGUUCUCUAAUCAGUCGGUUUUCCCUUCCAGUUCUAGGCUCCACCCAAACUUUGUCAUCUCUGUGUUCAGCUUGUCAAUGCAAUAAAAGUCAUCAAUUAUCGUUUUCCAAAACAUCACUCACAAGCACACAUCCUCUACAAUAUAUCUACACAGAUAUAUGGGGACCAGUAGCUUCAACCUCCAUCGAUGGUUAUCGAUAUUAUGUUCUAUUUGUGGACCACUUCACAAAGUACUGCUGGUUCUUUCCAAUUCAUCACAAAAAUGAUGUUCAUCCCAUUUUCAUUCAAUUAAAAGGAUUUGUUGAAAAACAGUUUGGUUUUCAAGUUAAAAAUCUAUACUCUGACAAUGGUGGUGAGUACCAGAGUUUACGUCAGUAUCUAUCAGACCAGUCCAUAAACAUGCUCACCACUGCUCCACACACACCACAACAAAAUGGGACAAGUGAACGACGACAUCGUCACAUUGUUGAGACAGGUCUCACAUUGCUUCAUCAAGCACAUCUUCUAGUGUCCUACUGGACACAUGCCUUUCAAACUACAGUUUAUCUAAUUAACCGCAUGCCAACUUCAAUUCUUCAAAACAAAAGUCUGUUUGAAAGCAUCUUUGGUCGUCAACCAAAUUAUCACAAACUGCGCACCUUUGGGUGCCAGUGUUUUCCAUGGCUCAAACCUUACAAUCACAACAAGCUGCAACCAAAGUCCAAAGCAUGCAUUUUUCUUGGUUACUCAAGCACUCAAAACACAUAUAAAUGCAUGGACAUUCACUCAUCCCGGAUUUACAUCUCAAAACAUGUUGUCUUUGAUGAAACUGUUUUUCCCUACUCUGCCUCCACUAGUGUGUCAUCACCAUCACAUGCAGGGAAUCCCACAAUCAUCUCUACCAUCCCGGUGGUUCCACCCUCAAGAUAGAUACCAUCCAGGCAAUCAUCAGAGACACCUGUUGCUCCUGUUGUUCCUCCAACUUCACCACCAACACAGAUUCCUGAUCCACCCCCUGCACCAUCAGAAAACAGGUUAGUAAUACAGCCACCAUUGUCACAAUCACCCACAAGACAACAUAACAUGAUCACAAGAUCCAUGAACAACAUCUAUAAGCCAAAACAAAUCCACCUCACCACCAAACACCCCCUCCCACAACCCAUAGAACCAACAUGUGUCUCUCAAGCCCUGAAAGAUAAAAAAUGGCGACAUGCCAUGUCUGAAGAGUUCAACGCCUUGGUUAAACAUGGCACCUGGGAACUGGUUCCAUCCAACCCAUCCAUCACUCCUGUAGGUUGCAGGUGGCUCUUUCGCAUUAAACACAAUGCUGAUGGCACAAUAUCAAGAUACAAAGCACGUCUGGUAGCUAAAGGAUAUCAUCAACGUCCUGGCCUUGAUUACAAUGAGACCUUCAGUCCAGUCGUCAAACCAGUAACAAUCAGAACUGUGUUAUCCAUUGCUUUUCAACAUCGCUGGUGCAUGAAACAACUGGACGUAAAUAAUGCAUUCCUUCAUGGGUCCCUACAAGAAGAUGUUUACAUGAUUCAGCCCCCAGGAUUUGUCGACUCCACAGUGCCCACCCACAUCUGCAAACUACACAAAUCCAUCUACGGCUUAAAACAGGCACCACGUGCCUGGUAUGACAAACUCAGCUCCUUUCUUCUGACACUGGGAUUCAAGCAAUCAAAGUCUGACUCUUCCUUGUUUAUCUACUCAAAGCAGGACAUCAUCUUAUUUCUACUGGUAUAUGUUGAUGAUGUGUUACUCACAGGUACUGAUUCCCAGGUUAUGGCCGACAUAAUACGUCAACUUGGUGCCCAAGUCUCACUAAAGGACCUUGGUGACCUGCACUAUUUUAUUGGGAUCGAAGUGCAGCCAACUCAUGAGGGAAUCUUCCUAUCUCAACAAAAAUACAUCAGAGAUCUUCUCAAGAGAACUAACAUGGAAGGAGCCAGACCAAUUCACACACCUAUGUCCACCAAACCAACACUUCAACUCAAUGAUGGUCAUCCCCUUGCAGACCAGAAACAAUAUCGAAGUGUCAUAGGAGCCCUACAGUACCUAGCCAUCACCAGACCAGACAUCGUUUUUGCUGUGAAUAAACUUGCUCAAUUCAUGCACCAACCCAGUCAACUUCACUGGACUUCAGCAAAACGGGUACUUCGGUAUCUCAAAGGCACAAUCACUCAUGGGAUAUCAUUAACACCCUCUGUCAAUCCUCAUCUCUCCGGAUACUCAGAUGCAGACUGGGGCACUGAUCCAGACAACAGACACUCUACCUCUGCCUAUCUCAUAUUCUUUGGCAACUGUCCAAUCUCAUGGAGCACAAGGAAACAACAUUCAGUUGCCAGAUCCUCCACAGAGGCCGAAUAUAGGGCCCUAGCCUCAACAACUUCAGAACUCAUAUGGAUUCACAAUUUACUUCAUGAACUGGGAAUCAAGAUGUCCCAACGUCCUAGCAUAUUCUGUGAUAACAUUGGAGCUACUCAACUGAGUCAAAAUCCAGUACUGCACUCUCGCAUGAAACACAUCGCCAUUGAUCUGCACUUUGUUCGUGAUCUGGUAAAGAAAGGCGUUUUAGAUGUCUCCCAUGUCAGUACCCAUGACCAACUUGCUGACUUCCUCACUAAACCCCUUCCACGUAUCAAGUUUCAAGCUAUGGUAAACAAGAUAGGCUUACUCAUUAGCCCGCCUAUCUUGAGGGAGCGUGUUAAAGAUUAUACAAAACACACAUGCUAAUCAUCCGUUGCAUAUAAAGGAAACCAUGUAUGGUGCAUACAUAUCAUCUGAAGACUCCCUGUCAACAUACAAUUCCAGCUGAAACAAACUUCUAGUCAUUGUAUUUACAUUACAUACAACUUGUAAUCUAUCCUAUGAAAAGGAACUCACAUUAAUAAAGAAAGUAUGUUCAGCAGUUUUCUAUACACCACACACCUACGAUAGUUACGAAGAUUGUGUACUCCCAUGAAUUCUCCGCUUUGUAUGGUAAAGUGUAAGAGUUAGGCUUAAAGCCACGACUUGAGGUAUACUUGUAUGGUAACACGAUAACAAUGACUUGAAUAGCUUAACGCGUACUGUCGGACCAAAUUAGUUUUUUACGAAUCUCAUUUCCUUAUUAAGUAUUUAGAAUCCAAAAAAGAAAAAACUAAUUAUUUGAUCCAAUGUUAUGUGUUGGGUUGUCCAAGUUAUUGUUAAGAUAAGAUCAUGCAAUUAAAUCUCAUGCUGAAUGGAAGUUGUUAAAUGUUAACAAGAGACUCAUAACAGUUGAAUUUCAUAUGUGAGUAAGGAGUUUUGUAGCAAAUUUUGAUAUGAUCAAAUACAAUGAUGAAUUUAUAUCUCAAUAGCCUGGAUUUAUGAUUUAAAGAAAGCAUCCAUCAACGUGUAUAAAUCCUUACGUGCAUCUCAUGUGAAGACAAAGGUGAUCUCAAGUGCAGAUUCUCCCCAAUACAUAUAUACGAGGUACAGCUUCUUAAAGACAAUCAGACCACAGAUGAGUUCUGUUGGUUGUAAUAUUGGAUUUUGGAACCGAACUAUGUAGAGAUGUCCAAGGACUGGCUUCCUGAGAAGUUUGAGACGGAAAUGGGGCUGAUGAAGUUCUUGAUGAAGAAUAUACCUAUUUCUUGGAGGAAAUAAUCAUAUGUACAUCAACAGUAGAGAGAAUCUUGAACGGAAGAAAAAGAGAGUAAAUAUUUAUAUCUUCGAAAACAUGUUCAAGUGCCCUUCUGCCGCACAUAAUUCUGAUCCUGAUGCCAAAAUCGUUUCCUUUUAAGAAUUAGUUUUGAUUUUUUUUUUUUAUUUUGGGUGAAAACUGAAAUACAUGAAAGAUUGUCUGUAAGGUUUUCGUAUAUUUAGACACAUAUCAGAAGAUUAUUUUGCUAAUUAUCUUGAUCUAAUUUCUUUAUUUUUUGUAAUUAGGUUUUGUUUUUCGAUUCAUAAAUGUUUUCUAUUAUGAUAUAUUUUUAAGAAAACAGAAAAUAAAAUAAAAAUAUAUUAACUUGUAAAUUUUCACUAAUAUAUUCUUGUUAGUACUCACAAAAUUAAAUAGAUUCAAUUAGAGGAAAUUCAGCAUAUAAUUUAUAUUGUUUUUUUUAACUAAUUACUGGUAUAACAAUCAAACACUAAUUCGAAUUAAAAUAAAAUAAAAUCAGUGACAUUACUUCUUCAUGAGAGAAUGAAAAGAACAGGAUCCGAUGGAAUCGCUAUAUAUCAUGUGAAGUUUACAAUUUCCACCAACGGUCAAGUGACAUGGUUAAUCAUACUCUUUUAAGCAUAUUAAUUGUAAACUUGCUUUGCACUUCUAUAUUAUGUAAUUAUUUAUUUUUGUAAUAUUUAUUAAUACCAGGCUGCAAAGUCAAUGCUCAGAGGAGAAUGAUUAACUACGUGCACGCCCUUGCAUUAUGAAUUUGUCUAUGACGACGUCCUCUUUAACAUGAUAGAGUGUAAUUUUCUUAGAUAAUUAAUUAAUUAUCUUGGUCUUUCCUUCAAGAUCUAACAUCCCAUUUGCAAAAUAAUUAUAUGAAAAGAAAGUCGGUCCAAUAUUAAACUAUAUAAUAAGUUACAAGUCCAAUCAUUUCCCAUUAUUUUAUCAAAUUACAUGUUCUAUUUCUAGAGAGCAUAUAUAUAUAGCACCGUGUUAGACAUAUUCAUACUAUCAUACACUUCAAUUCAAUCGUUCUUCUCUACAGUCAAAUUCAGGCUUCAGCAACAAAAGUUACAAUGGCGGUAAGCGUGUCUAGAUGUAGUGGAUGAAAUUAUAUAACCGUAGGUUAAUUAAUAAGAGUCUUCUAUUUAUUAAUAUUUUCUCCUAUCAUAUUACAACUGAAAGGAAAGAAUGGCACAAUUGUAUUGAAAAUUUUCAUUGUAUUUUACUCAGAUCAUAGAAAUGAGAGUGCAUAUGGAUUGUGCUAGAUGCGAGAGCAAGGUGAAAAAUUCUCUGGAAAAAGUCAAAGGUAAGAAAUUGGUCCACUAAAAACUUUCAUGCAUGCUCCUACAUAAAUCUCCAAUGUUCUUGAGAAACAUAAUCUAAAUGUUGUUCCUUCCUACAUAAAUCUCCAGUAUUUAUGUAAUAAGUACUUGUUGCUUUCACAGUUUGCUUCCUCUUCAAGAAAGGAGAUUACAUUAUGUUAGGAUACUGGCAUGCAAAUCUGACAAAACAAAAGAUAAAGGAUAGGAUAAAAUUAGAAAUGAGACACAAGAAUUUACUUGGUUCACCCAAUUAGGCUACGUUCACGGGCAAGUAUAGAAGGAUUUUACUAAGUAAUAUGAGAAUUACAACCUCUCUCUAAUAAUAGGAGAACAACUGAAAUCUUUUUAUUAUUAGGAGAAAACACCUCACUUACUCUCUCACAAAUACCUCACAAUUUUGUGGGAUUACUUUCCCUCUCUCACUCUCACUCUCCUCUUGCUCUCUCUUAUUUUUUCUUGUGAUGCAUAUGAGGCAAGGAAUGCAAUGGCAUCCUUGCCUUUGCCUUGCAAAAGGCAAGAGUAAGGCAAGUGGGCAAGUGGCAAAAGGGUACCAAUUAUCAAGUGCACAUUCAUUUUCCACUUUGCCAACAAUGUUUAGCUGGCUUCACACAUGGAAUCACAGAAAGCAUCUUUUCGGAGUCUGUCGCAUGAGCUGAAGACUAUCAAAGUACACAAUAUUAUUGGUUGCAACUUCAAUUUGUAAUCAAAAUAUUUAGAGAUGGAUGGAGACUGGCUUACUAAGAAGUUUGAGAAGGAAAUGGAGCUGGUGAUGUCAACAAAAGAGAGGAUUUUGAAGGGGAAAAAGGAGAGUGAUGUUCAACAUGUUCGAAAACCUGUUUUAAGUGCCACAGAGCUUCUCCUCAUGCCGAAUUCUUAUUCUUAUAGAUUUCUCUUGUCAUUUCCGGUUCUCUAAGCAUUCAAUGUAUCUCUGUUAACUCUUGCUUAUAAAUUGAUAUUUGAUACAACUGGAUGAUGUCUACUUUGUAUUGAUUUUUAUUUUCAUUUUUCUUGGUGAACAUUACUACCGAUCCUUGAAUUCUAAAAUCUAGAUUUUCCAUAGAAUUCAAUUCAAAUGGCAUCUUAAAUUCCCAUACCAUGUUUACCAAGUUGCGUAAGGUGUUUGUUAUUCCCUAUAGAGCAUGGUUGUCUCUAUGUUUCGUCAGUAAUGGACUACCUACCGAGAGAUCAUGAUGAAGCAUACAAUUUUUGUGCCUUUCUUCUUCAAAAAUUUGAAAGAUGCUCAAUCAACCACAUUCGCUAGAUGUUUUACAUUGCCAUUCUUUUGUCAGCUCAAACACUUUUAAGAUGCCUAAAUUCGUGUAAUUUUUCACUGUCCCUGCAACAAUUCAUGAGUACAAAAACUAGCUAGAUGUAUUCCCAAGCAUGCGUCGAGGAAGUAAAAUUUUAUCAGUUCACAAACUGCCAAAUACUUAUAACGGGCUUGCAGAUUUUGAGUCCAUACAAGGAUGUUUAGGAUUCGAGUAACACAAAACUUACUCUGUGGCAGCAGAGUUAUUCAGCUGCAUCAUUUUUCACCUCAAGUCCGGCACUGGCUUCACGGUCUAAUGAAGCAUCUGUUCUCUUAUUUUUUUGGACCAUCUUCUGAGUAACCAGAAGCUGAAGCGAAUUAAGUCGACCGAUACUACAAUUACUAUUCCCAAUAACGCGCUACGGGUGAUAGACACGCUAGUCGGACCAAUAAGAAGAACCCCAGAAAUAUAAUUUGCCACCAUACAACGCAAAGCUAGCCCCAGUAAUGACUUGAGUGGAUACUCCUGAAUAAUUAAAUUGAUCACCACAAUCGACGCAAAAAAGCCUAUAGUGUUGGAAGCCAUGAAGAAAAUAAACUCACGCCCAUUUCCUGAAGCCAUCCAAGCAUAAUAGUAAAACGUCCCAUCUUCAAGUUCUUCGGUGCGAAUGCCAGCAGGAGGGUUUAAGAUGGCUUGGUAUGCCAUACCUGCAAUAAGUACUGCCACAACCAACAAUACGUUGUGUUGCUGGGGGAGCCUGUUGAACUUCCUUAGCUAGUUUCUUGUAGUGCUUCACUGGAUUUAAAUGUUUAGCCACCUUAAGUAAGAAAUGCUCUGAAUUUUGACUCAAUGAUUCUGAUACGGUGCUAGAGAUUCGAGUAACUUGAACAUCAACAACAGUUCCAAGUUCCCUUGCUCUUAAUGCUCCAGCACCGUGAAGCAAUUCCCUGAGCAUGAAAUCACCAGCGUCAGCCUGCAUUUUUUGUGAGACAUCUAACAUGUCCCUAGCAGUUAAUCCAAUCUUGUUGACGACAUUCACAUUGAUUGUACCUAUGUCAAUACCUUGACCGCCAAGAAGUGAUUUCAGGGUCUGUAACAUAAGAAAAGAAAAGAGAUUACGUAAAAACUUCUUUUUCCGUUGUGUAAUCAAAGAUUACUUAAAAAUUAAACAUAAUACUAAUCCAGAACUCUGAUGCUCCGAAAGCAUCUGGAUCAACACGACAUGACAUAGCUGGUAUGAAUAUGAAAUACGGGUCAGACAUCCCAAAAACUCCACAUAUUUGAAGGAGAAAAGUAAUGGGAACAUGGGAAGCAUGAUGAAAUACAAAUCUUAUUCGUAUUACAUUAAUUACUCCUUUAAAUAGUAAGUCCAUAUAGAUUUAUACUUAGAUUUACAAUACUUUAUCUAUAAUAAUCUAGGAUAAUUCAAAAGACUUAAAAGAUAAAUACAUCUUGGAUAGUUACAUGCAUAUAUCUAGAACUAAAAUUUACUUUAAAUAAAAACUUCAAAAUUAUUUCCAACACUCCUUAACUUUGAAACUCUCACAUAAAUUUGAAUUUUGAUUGAAAACCAUCUUGUCAUGACUAGCUAAUGGCACCUCAUUGCCAUCUUUUCAAUCUUUCUUUCCAUAAAAAUGGUCUAUAUGAACAUGGUUGUUCCUAGCCAUUUUUCUCCUUUCAUGGUUGCCACCAUAUUUCUCUAACCAAACACUUCUUUUAAUAUUUGGCUCACUGUAUUUUAGUCCGGCUGCUGUCUUCUUCUUAUCAUGGCUCUUUAGCCACUUCUCAUGUCAUGUAAGAAGAGUUCUCUAGAUCUCUCCUCGGCCUCUCUUGUACAACAUCUUAUCUUUCGUUGCAAGAGGUUUUAGGUGUUUUUUUUUUACUAUUUUUUUAUGCAAGGCUAGCUAUGAACCUGUCCUCGACUCUAAAUCUAAAUAUCCUAUAAAUAACUAUGUAUCCUACCAUAGAUUAUCAAAGAAAAGCAUGACAUUUAUGAAUCAAUUAUAUGUUAUAUCUAUUCCUAACAAUGUGCAACUAUUUCUAACAAUGUGCAAGAAGCUUUGAAAGAUUUCAGGCGGAGGGAGGCAAUGAAUGAAGAGAUGAAGAGCUUUUGAAAAAACUCAACAUGGAAAGUUGUUGACGAAACUCAAAGAAAGUUACUUGUUGGAUGCAGCUGGGUUUUCAGCAUUAAAUGCAAAGUCGAUGAAACUAUUGAAUGAUGCAAAGCAAGACUUGUCACCAAUGGAUAUACUCAAACAUAUGGAAUUGAUUAUAUGGAGAUAUUCUUAUUAGUGGCCAAAAUUAAUACUGUUCGUAUUUUAUUAUCUCUAGCAGUAAAUCUUGAGUGGCCAAAAUUGAUUGGCCAAAAUUUAAAUGGAAAUCUCCAAGAAAAAGUGUAUAUGGAGUUGUCCCCUCGCUGUAAUCGGUAGACUAAAGGUAAUAAACAAGUUCGUAGGUUGAGAAAAUCCCUAUAUAGUUUGAAGUAGUCUCUUAGAUCAUGGUUUGAAAGGUUCACAAGUUUUAUGAAGUCUGUUGGUUACAAGCAAAGUAACUUAGAUCACACUCUAUUCUUGAAGCAUAAUAAAAACAAAUCACAGCUUUUAUUGUGUACGUUAAUGAUAUGAUAAUGAUUGGAAAUGAUCCUGAAGAAAAGAAAAUACUAUAAGAGCAUCUUACCCAUGACUUUGAGAUGAAAGACCUUAGUGAAUUAAAGUAUUUUCUUAGAAUUUAAGUGUCUAGAUCAAAGAAAGAUAUUUUUCUGUCACCAAAAAAACAUGCCUUAGACUUUCUAAAUGAAACUGGUAUGACAACAUGUAGUCCAACUAACACUCUCGUUGAAGAAAAUUUGAAACUAUAGGUGUAUUCAAAUCAAGUUCCUACUAACAACGAACAUUAUUAAAGGCUGGUUGGAAGAUUAAUAUAUCUUACAUGUACUCUGCCUAAUGUAGCUUAUGUGUUGAUUAUGGUUAGUCAAUUUAUACACUCCCUAAGUGAAGAAUAUAUGAAUGUUGUCAUCCGUAUCUUACACUAAGUUAUCUUUAGGAAAGGGAAUUUUAUUCACAAAAGAAGACAAUUUGGAUAUUAAUGACUAUACAAAUGCUAAUUGUUUUGGUCGAUUCAAGAUCGACAUUUUAUAUCUAGCUAUUUCACAUUUGUAGGAGGGAAUUUAGUUAUAUGGCGAAGUAAAAAACAUGAGGCAAUUGCUAGAUCCAGUGCUGAAGCAGAAUACAAAUUAAGAAAUGACUAAGGCAAUAUGCGAAUUGUUGUAGAUUAGAAAUUAGAUGCAAGAUUUACAUACUAAGCAAGUCAGCUCUAUGAAGUUAUAUUGUAAUAACAAGACAACGUGUGAUAUUGCUCAUAAUUUUCUCCAAUAUGAUCAAACUAAACAUGUUAGCAUGAUUAAACUAAACAUAUUGAGGUUAAUAUAUAUUUUAUCAAGGAGAAACCAGAAGAAAAAUUGAUUGAAGUUCUUUAUGUUCGAUCUCAAGACUAGCUUGCUGAUGUGCUGAUCAAGACAGUGACAAACCAAGCAUUUAAUGACUGUCUCAACAAACUAGACAUGGAUGACAUUUAUAAGGGAGUGUUGAUAAUUAUGAGUAAUUAUCUUCAUAUUUUAUCUCUACUGCUAGCUACAGAGAUAUAAUAGAAUUACUAGAAUUCCUGUGAACAUGUGAUUGUAUCUUGAUAGCUAUAGGUUUACAUAUAAUUAGUCAAUCAGCUGUCCUAAACUAUAGGAUAUAAAGAGGGCUUUGUAAAGUGGCUAUUUUAUGCCGUGCUAGAAAGAGGAACAAAUUAUUCUCUUCACAAACUCUGUAUUUAUCACUGUUAUAUGCAUAUAUUUAGAAGAUACUCAGGAGAACUAAAAGAUAAUUUGAAUGAAAAAAUCAAAAUUAAUUUCAACAUGUAAAACACAUAUUUGGUGAGUUUAAAACAGUGUUUCAGUAUCCUAAAUUUAAAAUUUGAUGGCUCUGAUUACGAGCAACAUAAAUUCUCCUUGUUUUGAAGGUUUAACUAAACCAGAUCAAAAUGAAUAGAAAAUAGGAAAUUCAAGUACGAAGGGAAAAUGACCAUCUGGUUUCGUAGUUGAGUUUUAUGUCUACCAUUAUGCAGAAAAUCAUAGUUGUAGAAAUAUAAUUCGAAAUUUAGAAAGUUAUACCCGAUCAUGCCCAUCCCAUGGCACCCCAAAAGAUAAGGAGCAAAGAAAGAAGGGAAAGCGGACUUGCCUGAGUCUGCCUCUUAGCUGUCGCAAGGUGUAAAACAGUAUUGCCAUCUUCGUCCGUCACAUUCAGAAGCUCCUUAAUGUUAUGCGGCUGGAGCACAUCAACCAUGACUUUGAAAGCCUCAAACUGAUUAUUUCUCAAAGCAAGGUGAAAUGCGGUUUCCCCUUUGAAUGUCACAAUGUCCUUGCUUGCAGGACAAAACUUGAGCAAUUCCUAUUGGCAGAUAUAUGUAUAUGAUCUGAUACGAUCCUUCUUUCCUUUUCUGUCAUGAUUCUUAUUCCUUUUAUGAGUUGAUUCCAGUAUUAUUCUUAGGAGAAAUAUCAGGAAUGUAGCUAGAAAUAUUCUUGUAAUCAAUGCACUUUGUGUAUAUUGUCGCACCCCCCCCCCAAAAAAAUUUUUUUCAAAUACGCAUCCAUUGCGGGUUCGACUGGCGAAAAUUUGUUUAUUUUAUUUUUAUUUGGUUCUUUGGAGUCGCCACCUAGUAUUUUGGUCACUAGGAACCUAACUGGUCUCAGAGAUCGGGUACGGAGACUGGUUGCGUAAAGGGAAGGUAUUAGCACCCCAAAUACGCCUUACCUAAGGUAAGCUGCAUUGUUUUAAAUGUCUGAUAAAAAAACUAAAGUGUUAUUGUGUUUUCCUAGUUGUUGGUCUGUCUAUGGUUCAAGAAAAAUCCCCCUCAGUAAGGAGGUCUUUAUCUUAUCGGGUAAAAAUCCUAACCGUUCUAACGUCCAUACCAAAACUUUACUAAUAAUAUUUAGGAAUACGUUUUACGUAUAAAUUCGUAAUCCCAAAUAUUAAAAGAAAACAAAAAGAAUUUUUUAGAAUUUUUGAAAUAUUGGCCUAGUUCUCAUGGCUUGAAUAAAUUGGUUAUUAAAGCCAAAAUGCAUGUUAAUACAUAUAUUGUUUUGCAAAUUUUCUUUGUUGUGUGAAAAUAUGAUGUUAUAAUAUUUAUGAAUAUAUAUUGGAGAGACUAGGCCGUAUUUUAAAACAAAAACAAUUUUUAGAAAAUAUUAUUUUUUAUGCUUUGACGAAAAUCGGGUAUUUUAAUACUGAGCUUGUAUCCUUACGGUAAAAAUACAACCCAAUAUUAAUUCCGCUUUUAAAAAAACAAAAAUGCAGAAAAUCAAUAACAUUUUUAGGGAAUUUUUUAGAAAUUUUUUGAAAGCAAAAACAUUUUUUAUUCUGAAAAUCUUUGAUGUUUUGACGAAAACCGGUAUUUAUAACACUGGUUUUGUAUCUUUACAGUAUAAAAAUACAAACCAAAAUUAAACCAUUUGAUAAAAAUAUGCAGAAAAAUCAACAACAUUUUUAGGGACUUUUUAGAAAUUUUUUUGAAAGCAAAAACAUUUUUUAUUCUGAAAAUCUUUGAUAUUUUGACGAAAACCGGGUAUUUAUAACACUGGUUUUGUAUCUUUACAGUAUAAAAAUACAAACCAGAAUUAAAACAUUUUUGACAAAAAAUAUGCAAAAAAUCACAAUAUUUUUAAAGAUUUUUUUUUUAUAUUUUUUUUUAUAAAUAUAUUUUAUAUAUAUAUAACAUAUAUACACACAUAUAUAUAUAUAUAUAUUAUAAUAAUAUAUAAUAUAUUAUAGGGCUGGGCCGGCCCAAAUAAAUGGGCCAGGCUCAGCCCAAAAAAAAUAAUAAAAGGGGGCGGGCCGGUCUCGGCCCGCAAUGAUAUUGGGCCGGUCUCGGCCCGUAACUAAUGUGGGCCGGUCUCGGCCCGUAACUUCUACAGUCUGGGCCAAGACCGGCCCAGACUUACAAGGCUGGGCCAGCAUCGGGCUGGCCCAGUGCCUUAAAACCCAGCGGGGGGGGGAGAAUUAUUUUUCUCCCCCCCCCGCCUCCUGCAUGCAACAUGCAGGAGGCCAGGCGAAAACAAAAAAAAAAAAAUGCAAAGGGGGAGGGGGUGUGCACCUGGCGUGGAGGCGACCGUUGGGGAGCUGCGGUGUCGUGGCCUCGAGGACGGCGGCGCUGUGGUGUUGCUGCGGCGGAGAGAAAAGAUUUCCUUCCUUCCCCUCUUCUUUUCCUUCCUUUCUCUUUGUUUUCUUUUUUUUUUUUUUUUGUUUUUUCGUUUUAUUCUUUUCUCUUCUCCUCUAUCUCGCUGGUUCUAUCUCUCUCUUCGGUCUCGUCUCUCUCUUUUUUCUUCUCUCUCUCCGGUCCCUCUCUCUCCUCUCGGCCUCUCUCUAUUUAUAAGCAAAAAGGAAACGGUUAGUGCGCCUUCAAUCACGCAACGGCUGGUCGGCCACUCUUGCUUUCGGUGGUGGUGGUGGGGGCGAGGAGAGAGAGAGAGGCGGGAAGUUUUGAAAAAAGAAAAAAAAAUGGUUUCGUCUCUGUUUCCGCGGGGGGAAAGGAAGAAGACGAACAGUGUCGUUCAAAACGACACCGUUCUGUCUUCUUCUUUUUUUUUUUUUUUUUUUUAUUAUAUAUAUAUAUAUGAAACGGCGUCGUUUUGGAUAAAACGCGCCGUUUCAUUUAAACGGGUCAAACUUCAAAACAGUCCUCCAAAUCGGUCCCUGCCCCUCUUGUUGGCCGCCUUUUUCAUUUUGGUCCUUGGCAUCUGAUUUAUGCAAUUUAGCCCUCAAUUGAUUAAUAAACUUUCAAUUUCUUCAAUUAGGCCCCUGAAACGAAAAAUUAGCAGCCCCUCCAUUUACGCGCCUCUUCCAAUUUGGUCCCUGGUUUCGGAUUUUCACAAUUAAGUCCCUAAUUGGCCCUUAAACUUCAAUUUUUAUGCAAUUGAGCCCCUGAUUUGACCCAAUAAAUUCCUAAAAAAUAUAUUUUGGCCCCAGAACUUAAAUUUCUCCAAAUUAAAGCCCAAAUUGACUUAAAAAUCAAUUUUUCUUGGAAUCAAAUCUUCUAUAAAUUCAAAUAAAAAUCCAAUUAAGUCCAUAAAAAUCCAAUUAAGCCCAUAAAAAUCCAAAUUUGGGCUUUUCUCCCUAAAAUUCCAAUUUUUCUUCUCAAUAGGGCUUUCAUCCUUCAAGAAUAUACUGUCAAAAAUUCAAUCCUUGUAUUUUUAAAUUCCUUGACCAAUUUUCUGACUGUUUUCCGGGCGCUUCUGCCUCCGGUUAUUUUUCUAACCUCUUUUGGCUAUUUAUUUUAUUUUUCAGGGGGAUCCAAAAAUGGGUUACAACAUAUAUAAUAUAAUACAAUCUUUCUCUGUUAUUCUUUCCGUGUCUUCUUUUCUUCAUGGUAUCAGAGCUGGUUCAUAUCAACCAGUCUCAUAUAAUAAUUGUUUAGAUGGCUUCUCGUGGAUUGGAGAAUAUUGAAGGUUCUAUUGCUCCUUCGUCAUUCAACCAACACCUGUAUUCUGAUUUGAAUAUUCCUGAUAUGAAUUCAAAUCAACGUCUGUGUUCUGUUCAAUUGAAUGAGUUCAAUUAUCUCCCUUGGUCAAGGGCUGUGUCUUUAGCGCUUGGUGGGAGAUCAAGAAUCGAAUUUAUUGACAAAAGUAUUGCUGCUCCUGAUGUCAACUCUCCGCAGUACAAAUCAUGGUUUGCUAGUGAUUAGAUGGUUCAAUCGUGGCUGCUCAACAUUACGGAACCACACAUUGCUGAAAUCUUCAGCUAUUUUGAAUCUGCUGCAGAUUUAUGGGAUGCAGUCAAAGAAAUGUAUGGAAAUCAGAAUAAUGUUGCCCGUGUGUUUCAGCUCAAGAAAGAUAUUUCAUGCUUGCACCAGGAAGGAAAAUCAUUUGUCCAAUACCUUGGGAAUAUGAAAAACAUGUGGAAUGAAUUGGCAAUCUAUCGACCUCACACCAUAGAUGCUGCAACCUUACUGAAACGAGCUGAAGAAAAUAAAAUCUUCCAACUUUUGGCUAAUUUAUCUCAUGACUAUGAAGAUCUUCGUAGCCGUAUUCUCAUGAACUUUGAAUUACCAUCCUUUGCAAAUGUGUGUGCGACUAUUCAACGGGAGGAAACUAGAAGAAAGGUUAUGAACUUGAGCAGCAAAUCAGAUUUCUCUGAACCCGAGCCUUUGUAUCCCAUCAGAGACGUUAUGAAGAGAAAGGGUACAAGAGUAGAAGAUCUGAUUUGAAAUGUAACCAUUGCAACAAUCUUGGACACUUGGUUGAACGAUGUUGGGAUCUUCAUCCUGAACUAAAACCAAAGUUUUCAAGAGACAACAAGGGAGGACAUAAGCCUUUUCAACCAUCAAGGUAUAAAGCCAACUCUGCAAACUCUGUGACCAACCAAUCUGCAAAUGGAUUAUCAACAUUUACUUCUAGUCCAGUCGACCUCAUCAACGAAUUUGCAUCAUAUCUUCAUGCAAGGCAGAGUGCAAAACAGAGUGGAGGUGAUCUAGAGGAGAACAAAGAUUCAUCAACACUGAUUGGUCAAUUUGCAGGAUUUCUAGCUGCAAAUAAAAAUGUCUCAGCUCCGGAUUUACCAGGUAUUUUGAAUGCCUUUUCUUCUGCUCUUAUUGUAAGUAAUGUGCAUGAUUUUUGGAUCAUAGAUUCAGGUGCCACUAAUCACAUAACCAACAAAUAUAAUCAAUUGCUUGACUUUACCAAUUUUUCUCCACCAUCUCAAAUAUCCGUUGCCAAUGGUAAAUUUGCACCAGUUUUUGGGGAAGGGAAGAUUAAGUUACUCUCUCAAACAAUUGCAUCUCCAGUUUUGUAUGUUCCCUCCUUCCCGUUUAAACUACUCUCUGUUGGAAGAAUUACAACAUCACUAAAUUGUCGGGUUGUUUUCUCUCCUUACAAUGUUGUAUUUCAGGAUCUAGUCACCAGGAAGACGAUUGGUGAAGGAUUCUUCUUUCAAGGUCUCUAUUACUUUUCUAAAGAUUUUUGCAUACCCAAGAGUUUUCAAGUCACUGGUUGUUUAGCUUCAGAAUCACAGUUAUGGCAUCAGCGUUUGGCACAUCCUUCAGAGCCUAUUUUGGCAAAACUGUUUCCGAAUUUGAACAGCAAAUCAAUAAACUGUGAUGUUUGCCCUUUGUCAAAAUCUACUCGUUUACCAUUUCCUUCUCCCAUAUCGUACUCAGUUAAACCGUUUGAUUUAGUUCAUUCCGAUGUUUGGGGUCCUGUCAUUGAGUCUUUUGAUGGUUAUAAAUACUUUAUUACAUUUGUUGAUGAUUUCUCUCGAUUUACUUGGCUAUACUUGUUAAAAGCAAAAAGUGAAGUUGCCACUGCAUUUCAAGAUUUCCAUCAUUUGGUUCGUACUCAAUUCUCAUCCCAAAUCAAAAUUCUCCGAUCAGAUAAUGGCUCUGAAUAUAUGUCUAAUGUCGCACGUGUGCGGCGUCGCGGCGAAAAUAAUAUGGUUUUUCCAUUUUUCUUAAAUUUGCAAUGUAAAUAUAUCUAUAUCUAUGGCGAUACAAGAAAAUAUUGUCUUUUAUUGGUAGAAAAUGGAAUGGGAGUCGCCACCUAGUGUUUUGGUCACUAGGAACCCUAACUGGUCACAGAGAUCGGGUACGAGGACUGGUUGUGUAAAGGGAAGGUAUUAGCACACCAAAUACGCCUUACCUAAGGUAAGUCUGAUAAAAACUAAGGUAUUAUUGUACUUCUAAUUGUUGAUCUGUCUAUGGUUCAAGAAAAAUCCUCCUCGGUAAGAAGGUCUUUACCUUAUCGGGUAAGAAGGUCUUUACCUUAUCGGGUAAAAUCCUAACCGUUCUAACGUCUGUACCAAAACUUUAUUAACAAUAUUUAGGAAUACGUUUUACGUAUAAAUUCGUAAUCCCAAAUACUAAAAGAAAGAAAAAAAAACAAAAAAACAAAAAAAAAAAAUUUAGAAUUUUUGAAAUAUUGGCCUAGUUCUCAUGGCUUGAAUAAACUGGUUAUUAAAGCCAAAAUGCAUGCUAAUACAUAUAUUGUUUUGAAAAUUCCUUUUGUUGUGUGAAAAUAUGAUAUGAUAUUUAUAUAUAUUGGAGAGACUAGGCCGUAUUUUAAAACAAAAACAUUUUUUGGAAAAUUAUUUUUUUUUGAUGUUUUAACAAAAAUCGAGUAUUUUAAUAUUGGGUUUGUAUUCUUACUGUCGCACGUGUGCGGCGUCGCGGUGAAAAACUAAGUUUUUUCCAUUUUUAAAUCGACGAAGUAAUAUAUAUAUGGAGAUACGAAAAAUAUUAUUUUUCAUUGGUAAAAAUGGAGUGGGAGUCGCCACCUAGUAUUUUGGUCACUAGGAACCCUAACUGGUCUCAGAGAUUGGGUACGGGGACUGGUUGCGUAAAGGGAAGGUAUUAGCACCCCAAAUACGCCUUACCUAAGGUAAGCUGCAUUGUUUUAUUGUCUGAUAAAAACUAAGGUGUUAUUGUACAUUCUAGUCGUUGGUCUGUCUAUGGUUCAAGAAAAAUCCUCCUCAGUAAGAAGGUCUUUUAUCUUAUCGGGUAAAAUCUUAACCGUUCUAACGUCUAUACCAAAAUAAUAAUAUUUAGGAAUACGUUUUACGUAUAAAUUCGUAAUCCCAAAUACUAAAAAGAAAACAAAAAGAUUUUUUGAAUUUUUGAAAUAUUGGCCUAGUUCUCAUGGCUUAAAUAAACUGGUUAUUAAAGCCAAAAUGCAUGCUAAUACAUAUAUUGUUUUGAAAAUUUUAUUUGUUGUGUAAAAAAAAUAUGAUGUUAUGAUAUUUAUAUCUAUAUAUAUUGGAGAGACUAAGCCGUAUUUUAAAACAAAAACAAUUUUUUGAAAAUAUUAUUAUUAUUAAUUUGUUUUGCUUUUUGACGUGAAUCAGGUAUUUAAAUACUGAGCUUGUAUCCUUACGGUAUAAAAAUUCAACCCAAUAUUAUUCCACCUUAAUAAAAAUAUGCAGAAAAAUCAACAACAUUUUUAGGUAUUUUUUAGAAAAAUUUUUUGAAAGCAAAAACAUUUUUUAUUCGGAAAAUCUUUGAUAUUUUUAGGAAAAUCGGGUAUUUUUAACACUGGUUUUGUAUCUUUACAGUAUAAAAAUACCAACCAACAUUAACCCAUUUUGACAAAAAAAUAUUCAGGGAAAUCAACAAUAUUUUUCAAGAUUUUUUCGAAAUAUUUUUUUUUAGUAAAAAUAUAUAUACACAAUAUACACACAUAUAUAUUACCAAAUACUAUAAUUCAUAAUAUAUAUAUAAUAAAAAUUCGGGUUGGGCCGGCCCAAAUGAAUGGGCCGAACCCAACCCAGCUGGAAUCGGGCCGAUCUCGGCCCGCAAGGAGGAUGGGCCGAUCUCGGCCCAACAAAUGCUGGGCCGAUCUCGGCCCGCAAGGAGGUUGGGCCGAUCUCGGCCCGCAAGGAGGUUGGGCCGAUCUCGGCCCAACAAAAACUCUUUAGACUGGGCCAGACUCGGUCUGGCCCAAAAUAAAUAAUAACAAAACUGGGCCGGAAACCCGGCCCAGUGUAAAAAAAAACCCACGGGGAAGGGAAAAUAAUUCCCUUCCCCUACCUCCUGCAUGCAGAACGAUUCUGCAUGCAGGAGGAUAACAAAUAUAAACAAAAUGAAAACGCAGAGGGGGAAGAAGAAUACCUGGCACGACGGAGGUGAUGUUGCUGGUCGACGGUGCUGCAGCGGAGGUCGGCAGCUCACAACGACGGUUCCCAACAGUCCGGUGUCUCUCGGGUCGUGCUUGGUUUUUUUUCUUUCCACUAAGCUUUCCCAACGGCUUCAGUCUUCUUACCCCUUCUCCCAGCUUCGUUUCCUUGAAUUUUAUGUGUUUAUUACUUUAGUCCACUGUUUCUCUCUCCUUCAGUCUCUCUCUCUCGUGGUCUCGGUUAUUUUCCUUCUCUUUUCUCCCCCGUGCUUCCAGUCUCCUCCUUUCUUUUAUAGGCGAGCAACGGAGCGGGGCUGCAUGGGCAGCGUGGGGAGCAGAACAACGUGGGUUGAGCUGGGCAACGUGGGGAGCAGCACAGCGCCGGUCGGCUGGUCGGUGAGCGUGGUCGAUCACGGCGUGGCCCUCCUGGCUUCGCGUCGUCCGAGGUGCAUGGGCCUGGUCUGUCAGUGCACGCGAGGAGAGAGGGGCACCGGCUGAUUAAACAAAGGUUUCGUCCAUGCUGCUGCACGUUCGGGGAGGAAGAAGAAAGGGGAACAGUGCCGUUCAAAACGGCACCGUUCGGUCCUCUUUUUUUUUUUUUUUUUUUUUUUUAUUUUUUUAUAUAUAUGAAACGGCGUCGUUUUGGGGAAAACGCGCCGUUUCAUUUAAAAAAAGGCGCCAGAAUACGCAAAAUUUCAACUCAGCCCUCAAUUAUCUUUUGAUUCUUUCAAUUGCGUCCCUGCCAAUUUCGGUCCUCGCCCCCAUAGUUGGCCGCGUUUUUCAUCUUGGUCCUUGGCCUCUGAUUUAUGCAAUUAAGCCCUCAAUUGAUCAAUAAACUUCCAAUUUCUUCAAUUACGCCCCUGGAUCAAAUCAAGACAGCCCCCUCUAUUUACCCGCGUGUUCCAAAUUGGUCCCUGGUUUCGGAUUUUCACAAUUAACCCCUAAUUGGCCAUUAAACUUCAAUAUUUAUGCAAUUAAGCCCCUGAUUUGGCCUAAUAAAUUCCAAAAAAAUAUAUUUUGGCCCCAGAACUUAAAUUUCUUCCAAUUAAAGCCCAAAUUGACUUAAAAAUCAAUUUUUUCUUGCACUCCAAUCCUCUAUAAAUUCAAAUAAAAUCCAAUUAAGUCCGUAAACAUCCAAAUUUGGGCUUUUCUCCUCAAAAAUUCAAAUUUUCCUUCUCAACAGGGCUCUCAUCCUUCAAGAAAUACUGCCAAAAAUCCAAUCUCUGUAUUUUUUAACCUCCUUGACCAAUCUUUCGACCAUUUUCUGAGCGCUUAUGCCUCCUGUUAUUUUUCUAACCUUCUUCGGCUAUUUAUUUAUUAUCAUUUUUAUUUUUUGUGGGGACCCAAAAAUGGUUACAACACUUACGGUAAAAAAUAUGACCCAAUAUUAAUCCACCUUAAUAAAAAUAUGCAGAAAAAAUCAACAACAUUUUUUAGAGAUUUUUUUAGAAUUUUUAUGAAAGCAAAACAUUUUUUAUUCUAAAAAUCUUUGAUGUUUUAACGAAAACCGGGUAUAUUAAUACUGGAUUUGUAUCUUUACGGUAUAAAAAUACAAACCAACAUUAAACACUUUUGACCAAAAUAUGCAGGAAAAUCAACAAUAUUUUUAAAGAUUUUUUAGAAUAUAUAUAUAUUUUUUUAUAAUAUAUAUACACACAUAUAUCAUAUAAUAUAUAAUAAUAUAUAAUAUAAUAUAUUAAGUGGGCGGGCCGGCCCAAAUAAAUGGGCCGGACAACCCAGAAGAAAAAAAAGUUGGCCGACCUCGGCCCAAAAUAAAACUGGGCCGAUCUCGGUCCAACUAAAAAUCACUCCUUAGUCUGGGCCUGACCCGGCCCAGAUCGCAGGGCUGGGCCAGAACCAUUCUGGCCCACCCCAAAAAUAUUUCUGGGCCAGAACCCGUCUGGCCCAGAGAAGAAAAAACAACGCUGGGCCAGCAUCAGCCUGGCCCAGCAAACUGAAUGGGGGGAGGGAAUUAUUUUCCCUCCCCACCUCCUGCAUGCAGAAACGAUUCUGCAUGCAGGAGGAAAUCUUAGGCAGCGAAAGAAAAAAAAUGCAGGGGGAUGGAAUGUACCUGGCGAGGAGGAGGCGGUUGCUGGUGGCGCUGCGUGACGUGGCUCACGAACGGUGGCUCCGGGCAGUGCUGCGGCUGUUCGAACGGUGGAGGGUGCGGUUGUUGCUCUUCCCUUUCUCCUCCGUAUGGCUUCCUCUUUUUCGGUGGUUUCCUCCCUCUCAGUACAGUUUGCUAGCGUUGUUUGUUGUUCGGUUCUUUCCCUCCUUUUACUCUCUCUGGUUCGUUCUCCUCUUCCCUCUCUCUCUACCCUUCAAUCUUUCCUCUCUUUUUCUUUUUUUUUCCCUCUGCCUCUGCUUCUCUUUUUCGUCCCUUUUUCCUUCGGGUCACCUACUUUUAUAGGGGGAGAAGGAGCCUUGGGAGCGGACCAAUGCGGAGGCUGGUCGGCCAUUGGGCGCGACUGCCAAGGCGCAGCUCCCUUGAUUCCGGUGUGGUGCGCGGCGGGUGGUCGGCCAGUGUCUUCGGUCGGUGGUCCAACGGCGUGUGGGCUUCGGUCUGGUCGGUAGGAGAGGGGGACAUGCACCAUUAAAAAAACUUUCUUUUUCCUUCUUCCCCGUUGCCUAUUCGGGGGGGGAAGAAGAAAGGGGAACAGUGCCGUUCAAAACGGCACCGUUCGGUCUUCUCUUUUCUUUUCUUUUUUAUGUAUGAAACGGCGUCGUUUUGGAGAAAACGCGGCGUUUCAUUUAAAAAAAAGGCGCCAGAAAUAUGUUUUUUUCAAAUCAGUCCUUAAUUUAUCCUUUGUUCUAUUAAGUCCUCAAAUCUAAUCCUGAUUUUAAGAAUAAAAUUCAAUUGCAUCCCCGCUAAUUUCGGCCUCCACCCCUCAAGUUGGCCGCGUUUUCUAUUCUAAUCCUUGGCCUCUGUUUUGUUCAAUCAAGCCCUCAAUUGAUUAAUAAACUUCCAAUUUCUUCAAUUAGGCCCCUGAACCGAAUAAUUGCAGCCCUCCAUUUACGCGACUCUUCCAAUUUGGUCCCUGGUUUCGGAUUUUCUUAAUUAAGUCCCUAAUUGGCCAUUAAACUUCAAUAUUUAUGCAAUUAAGCCCCUGAUUUGGCCUAAUAAAUUCCAAAAAAAUAUAUUUUGGCCCCAAAACUUAAAUUUCUUCCAAUUAAAGCCCAAAUUGACUUAAAAAUCAAUUUUUUCUUGCACUCCAAUCCUCUAUAAAUUCAAAUAAAAUCCAAUUAAGUCCGUAAACAUCCAAAUUUGGGCUUUUCUCCUCAAAAAUUCAAAUUCUCCUUCUCAACAGGGCUCUCAUCCUUCAAGAUAAUACUGCCAAAAAUCCAAUAUCUGUAUUUUUUUUUAACCUCCUUGACCAAUCUUUCGACCAUUUUCUGAGUGCUUAUACCUCCUGUUAUUUUUCUAACCUUCUUCGGCUAUUUAUUUAUUAUCAUUUUUAUUUUUUGUGGGGACCCAAAAAUGGGUUACAACACUUACGGUAUAAAAAUAUGACCCAAUAUUAAUCCACCUUAAUAAAAAUAUGCAGAAAAAUCAACAAUUUUUAGAGAUUUUUUUAGAAUUUUUAUGAAAGCAAAACAUUUUUUAUUCUAAAAAUCUUUGAUGUUUUAACGAAAACCGGGUAUAUUAAUACUGGAUUUGUAUCUUUACGGUAUAAAAAUAUAAACCAACAUUAAACACUUUUGACCAAAAUAUGCAGGAAAAUCAACAAUAUUUUUAAAGAUUUUUUAGAAUAUAUAUAUAUUUUUUUAUAAUAUAUAUACACACAUAUAUCAUAUAAUAUAUAAUAAUAUAUAAUAUAAUAUAUUAAGUGGGCGGGCCGGCCCAAAUAAAUGGGCCGGACAACCCAGAAGAAAAAAAGUUGGGCCGACCUCGGCCCAAAAUAAAACUGGGCCGAUCUCGGUCCAACUAAAAAUCACUCCUUAGUCUGGGCCUGACCCGGCCCAGAUCGCAGGGCUGGGCCAGAACCAUUCUGGCCCACCCCAAAAAAAAUUCUGGGCCAGAACCCGCCUGGCCCAGAGAAGAAAAACCAACGCUGGGCCAGCAUCAGCCUGGCCCAGCGAACUGAAUGGGGGGGAGGGAAUUAUUUUCCCUCCCCACCUCCUGCAUGCAGAAACGAUUCUGCAUGCAGGAGGAAAUCUUAGGCAGCGAAAGAAAAAAAAUGCAGGGGGAUGGAAUGUACCUGGCGAGGAGGAGGCGGUUGCUGGUGGCGCUGCGGUGACGUGGCUCACGAACGGUGGCUCCGGGCAGUGCUGCGGCUGUUCGAACGGUGGAGGGUGCGGUUGUUGCUCUUCCCUUUCUCCUCCGUAUGGCUUCCUCUGUUUUUCGGUGGUUUCCUCCCUCUCAGUACAGGUUUGCUAGCGUUGUUUGUUUGUUCGGUUCUUUCCCUCCUUUUACUCUCUCUGGUUCGUUCUCUCUCUUCCCUCUCUCUCUACCCUUCAAUCUUUCCUCUCUUUUUUCUUUCUUUUUUUUCCCUCUGCCUCUGCUUCUCUUUUUUCGUCCCUUUUUCCUUCGGGUCACCUACUUUUAUAGGGGGAGAAGGAGCCUUGGGAGCGGACCAAUGCGGAGGCUGGUCGGCCAUUGGGCGCGACUACCAAGGCGCAGCUCCCUUGAUUCCGGUGUGGUGCGCGGCGGGUGGUCGGCCAGUGUCUUCGGUCGGUGGUCCAACGGCGUGUGGGCUUCGGUCUGGUCGGUAGGAGAGGGGGACAUGCACCAUUAAAAAAACUUUCUUUUUCCUUCUUCCCCGUUGCCUAUUCGGGGGGGGAAGAAGAAAGGGGAACAGUGCCGUUCAAAACGGCACCGUUCGGUCUUCUCUUUUCUUUUCUUUUUUAUGUAUGAAACGACGUCGUUUUGGAGAAAACGCGGCGUUUCAUUUAAAAAAAAGGCGCCAGAAAUAUGUUUUUUUCAAAUCAGUCCUUAAUUUAUCCUUUGUUCUAUUAAGUCCUCAAAUCUAAUCCUGAUUUUAAGAAUAAAAUUCAAUUGCAUCCCCGCUAAUUUCGGCCUCCACCCCUCAAGUUGGCCGCGUUUUCUAUUCUAAUCCUUGGCCUCUGUUUUGUUCAAUCAAGCCCUCAAUUGAUUAAUAAACUUCCAAUUUCUUCAAUUAGGCCCCUGAACCGAAUAAUUGCAGCCCUCCAUUUACGCGACUCUUCCAAUUUGGUCCCUGGUUUCGGAUUUUCUUAAUUAAGUCCCUAAUUGGCCAUUAAACUUCAAUAUUUAUGCAAUUAAGCCCCUGAUUUGGCCUAAUAAAUUCCAAAAAAAUAUAUUUUGGCCCCAAAACUUAAAUUUCUUCCAAUUAAAGCCCAAAUUGACUUAAAAAUCAAUUUUUCUUGCAAUCAAAACCCCUAUAAAAUCAAUUAAAAAUCCAAUUAAGUCCAUAAACAUCCAAAUUUGGGUUUUUCUCCUCAAAAUUCAAAAUUUCUUAUCCAUCAGGGCUCUCAUCAUCCAAGAAUAUACUGUCAAAAAUCCAAUCUUGGUAUUUUUUAACCUCCUUGACCAAUCUUCCGACCAUUUUCCGUGCGCUUCUGCCUCUUGUUAUUUUUCUAACCUUCUUUGGCUAUUUAUUUUAUUUUUUUGUGGGGACCCAAAAAUGGGUUACAACAUCUAAUAUCAUGAUAUAAUACUUGAGCAUGCAUGGCAUUAUUCACCAAACUAGUUGUGUUCAUACUCCACAACAAAACGGGAUAGCAGAGCGAAAGAACCGAGACUUACUAGAGAAAACGAGAUCACUGAUGUUUCAAAUGCAUGUGCCCAAAAUAUUGGUCUCAAGGAGUACUCACAGCUGCCUACCUUAUAAACAGAUUGCCUAGUAAAAUUCUAAUGUUUAAUUCUCCAGCUGAGUCAUUGACAGGGAAGAAGCCAUCUCUAUCACAUCUUAAAGUCUUUGGAUGCUCUUGUUAUGUGCACAUUCCAUCUUCUCAGCGUGACAAAUUGGAUCACAGAGCAGUCAAAUGUAUGUUCUUGGGCUAUUCUCCAACACAGAAGGGAUAUAAGUGCUACAAUUCCACUACUCAUAAACUUGUUGUUACCAGGGAUGUUCGGUUUGAUGAACACACAUCUUAUUUCUCUUCCAGUGAGAACUUCAAUCAGGAGGAGUCUUCAUCAGCCUUAUUUCCAUUGCCAACUCCAGUAGUUGAGGCCUAUUGCCCAGAACAAUCUCACUAUAAUGCAGGAAUGGACAUCCAUACUGAUCCUAUUUCAGUAGCAACAGAGGGGGCUGAUCUGCAAGUUGAACAUCAGGAGCACCUUCAUCCCUCCUCCAGGCGUAAUCCUAUUCGUAACCGUAAACCAUCAUCUAGGCUUCAUGAUUAUGUGACGUAUACAGUGAAGCAUCCUGUCACCAAUGCUCUAGCUUAUCAUCGAUCGUCUUCAUCUUUUGGAGCUUAUCUCAGCACAAUCACCAAAGCAACAGAACCAUGCAGUUUUAAUGAAGCCUGUCAUCAAACCGUUUGGCAGAAGGCUAUGCACGAGGAGCUUCAAGCUUUGGAUGCCAAUCACACUUGGAGUAUUGUGUCACUUCCAAAGAAUAAAAAGGUUGUUGGUAGUCGUUGGGUAUACAAGAUCAAAUUCAAGACAGAUGGUUCCAUUGCACGACAUAAAGCCAGAUUAGUCGCUCAAGGCUUCACUCAAACCCUAUGGCAUAGACUACAAGGAAACUUUUGCACCAGUUGCAAAAAUGAACACCAUUCACACUCUGCUCUCAGUUGCUAUAAAUUAUGGCUGGUUUUUUAUCUCAAAUGGAUGUCAAGAAUGCUUUUUUACACGGCGACCUCCAAGAAGAAGUGUAUAUGAAGUUACCACCCGGCCAUCCUCAGAGUAAUGAUCCCAAGCUGGUCUGCAAAUUGCAUAAAUCUAUCUAUGGCUUGAAACAAUCUCCCCGUGCUUGGUAUGCUAAGUUGAGCACUGUUCUUACUGACCUUGGGUUUACCAGAAGCAAUGCUGACCACUCACUAUUUGUUCGUAUCAAGGCUAAUGAAAGGUUGGUGGUUCUAAUUUAUGUUGAUGACCUUAUUGUUACCGGUAAUAAUCAUGCAGCUAUUGCCACUCUUAAGAGCAUUCUUCAUCAGCGAUUUGCUAUUAAGGAUCUUGGUGUUCUUAAAUAUUUUCUUGGCAUAGAGAUGGCUACUUCUCAUAAAGGAUUGUUUUUGAAUCAAUCCAAAUAUGUGUUGGACUUGUUGCGUGAAGCUGACAUGCUUGACUGCAAACCUGCAAAGACACCUCUGGAUAGCAAACUUCAGCUGACUUUGAAUGGGGACCUUUUUUAUCAACCUCAGCUUUAUCAGAAAUUGGUGGGCAAGCUUAUCUAUCUUACCAUCACCCGGCCUGAUCUGAGUCAUUCGGUUAGUAUUGUCAGUCAAUUCAUGCACUCACCUACAGCUCAUAUGAUGAUGUCAAACGAAUUCUUCGAUAUCUCAAGGCACUAUUGGACGUGGAAUUCUUAUGCAAAACCAUGGUCACACACAGAUACUUGGUUACACUGACGCAGAUUGGCCAGGAAAUACUCUUGAUCGCAAAUCUACUACGGGGUAUUGUAUCUUUGUUGGAGGAAAUCUAGUUUCAUGGAAAAGUAAGAAACAAUCAGUCGUUGCCCGUUCCAGCGCUGAAGCCGAAUAUCGCUCCAUGGCUUCCACUGCAUCUGAUCUUAUAUGGCUGAAAGCUUUGUUAACUGAUUUAGGUGUUUUUCACCCUCAACCUAUGUCCCUUUGCUGUGAUAAUCAAGUUGCAAUGCAUAUUGCUUCCAAUCCAGUAUUUCAUGAACGAACCAAACAUAUCGAAGUUGAUUGCCAUUAUAUUAGGGAGCAGGUUCAGUCACAGCUGAUUGUUACUCAAUAUACUAGGAGCGAGGAUCAACUUGCAGACUUAUUCACCAAAGCCUUGUCCUCUGCCCGUUUUCAAUUGCUGCUUUCCAAGCUGGGAUCAAUCAAUCUUCUUGAUCCAGCUUGAGGGGGAAUAUUGGCAGAUAUAUGUAUAUGAUCUGAUACGAUCCUUCUUUCCUUUUCUGUCAUGAUUCUUAUUCCUUUUAUGAGUUGAUUCCAGUAUUAUUCUUAGGAGAAAUAUCAGGAAUGUAGCUAGAAAUAUUCUUGUAAUCAAUGCACUUUGUGUAUAUAUAUGUGAUGGACUGUAAUACAGAAGAUACAAUAUAAUACAAUCUUUCUCUGUUAUUCUUUCCGUGUCUUCUUUUCUUCAAUUCCUUGAUCACAUGUACCAUCCCAUUUAUAGCAGCACAAUGAAGAGAAGUUCUACCAUCACUGCUUUUAAGCCUGCCAAGCUCGCUGUUAACCAUCAAUAGCUCUCUCACUAUCUCCAAAAACCCAUUUGCAGAAGCUAUGUGUAUUGGGCUAAACCCAUCUGGGUUGAGCCUUGUAGCUAAAUCUAUUUUCUUCUUCAGUAGCUCCUUCACGAAUUCUGUUCGUCCGGCUAAGCAGGAAAUAUGUAGGAUUGUCUCGGAGGAGUCAUGGAGACAACUUCUUUCUAGAAGGUAAUCGUUUACUCCGAGCAGCUCCUGUAGUUCAAUGACAUCUCCUCUCCGUGCUGCCUCCAACAAUCUUGGAUCCAUGUUAUUGAUGGAAAUAAUCGCAAACUGAGCAAAGUUAUUAAUGACUCGUGAAAAAUACCAAACAAAAAUUUAUAGAAAUGUACCUGUGAAAAAAAUGUUGUUCAAAGUUAUAAGACUAGAAUAGUGAGAAUAGAGAAGUAUAAUUUAUAUACAUGCAUUAUAAUAUCAUCAUUAUAAGAUUGCAAUUAAAGACAAUAUACAACUUUCAUAUUAAGCAUGUAAUUAAAUAAAAACAUGUAUAGGAUAUUUACUUGUAGAAAUACUUAAAAAAAUAUUUAUCUAAAAAUUUAUUGUUGUGAAUGAUUUUGUAUUGAAGAUUUUAUUACUUUCUACUAAAUACAAAAAAGUUAAUUUUAAUAAGUUUCUUAGGAUUUCAAUAAAAAUUAUAUUGUUUAAAUACACUCCUAAAUAAAAUCAAACGAACUCAAGAAUUGUAUUCAAAUAUCUCUCAUUGAAUCUAAGCUUUUGUGUAGAAAAAAAGACUAAAAAAUAACACAAAGCUUAAAACCGAGUAAAUUAUGCUAAAAAUUAAGGUGAGAGAGUAUUAAAAAAUUUACAAUUAUUUUUCUGAACACUGUCCAGAAAAAAUCAGUAAAAAACAUUAUUCUUCACUCCAUUUUUACUAAGGAUUUUUAAACGAAAAUUUAUAUAGAGUUAAUUUUAAUAAUUACCAUAAUAAUUUUUCAAAUUUGUUUUAAUUAAUGUAAGUGUCUGGAUCAGUUUAUGUAUACCUUGACUAAUUCUAAGGGUCUUGAAGUUAAUAACCAUGUAAGCCACUAGUGGUCCUGAGGGGACUCGAACUCAUGACCAUUAGAAAGCAAACCCAAGAUCUAACCAGUUGAACUAACUCUCAGGACUCAUAAUAAUUUCUCAAAAUUGAUUUUUAGAGUCAAUGUGGAGUCAUUUUUAUUGACUUGAAUUAUAAUAAACAUUUCUUAAUUAGCUAGCAUGGACUCUGAGUCAACAGUCAUUUUUAAAUUCUCAUACUUAGUGUUAGAAAAUAAUAUAAAUAAUAUCUUGGGACCUCACCUAACAACUUAAAUUUUUAGGUUGAGAUGGUUCUUUGACAUGGUAUCAAAACUUUAAUGACCAAAUGCUCACGAGUUCGACUCUCACCACCCCUAUAUAUUUGAUAAAAAUCAAACAUAAGGUAAUAUGAGCCUGUGCAAGUUUCAAGCUCAAAGGGCUUUUAUUUGAGAGGGUGUGUUAAAGAAUAAUAUAAAUCAUAUCUUUGGACCUUACCUAAUAGUUUAAGCUUUUAGGUUGAGAUAAUUUUUUGACGCCUCCUUUUAUAGGCCAAAAUUUGAAACUAUUGAUUUGAUGAAUAAUUGUUGAGUGGGUAGCCACAUCUUGACUUGGUGAAAAUCCUUAUCUUUUUGUCUGAAUAAAACAUCAUUGCUAACAUCAGAACUAGAACCAUAUGAAAUCAUGAAAGUUCUAGCAAAUUCUCUUAGCUUUCCAGGAAAAAAAAGUUGAGGUCAUUUGGACUUCUAGAACUCAAGAUAUGGGUUGAACACUUAAUAGUAUCCGGGCUGCAGGACAGAUUCAGACUUCUCCGUUGUUGCUAUAAUUUGGACUUGAAAACGGCCUUGUUAGAUCCUAGCCUCCCAUGAAAGUUGUAGGCCUAUGUCUUACCAAAUCUGUGUAAACAUUUGAGGUCAUUUGGACAUCUAGAACUCGAGAUAUGACCCAAUUACCAAACAGUGUUCCAGUUUGGACUGCACCAACAUCUCUUUUUUAAGCUUCAUCCUCUCUUUAUCUUCACAAAUUUCAAUAGUUGAAUUCAUCAAUCAAUCCUUUGAUUUAUGUGAUAUGCCUGCAUUUAAGAUGAACAUUUACCAUAUAUUAAGGUAUCUUAUAGUAUUAGACUUGUUAUUAUAAAACAUGCUUUAGUUAAGGAGUUAUUGAUACUUCAAGUACAAAAUAAUGAUAUAAAACAUUGAUAAACAUGCACUUUUAAGUACUAAUCACCAAGAAAAACAAACCCACACUAAAUCAGAAAUUAAGCAGACCAAGCUGAAAUGCAUUCAUGAUUUCUGUACAGAUCAGCAGCGGUAUACCAAAAGGAAGAGUUGAGAUUCCUGAUCCAACCUGCAACAAAGUAAAACAAAAGCCAUAUGAUAUCUUUCCAUAUUGGCUUUUGUUCCUCAAAUAUAAAGUUGUUCCUAGCAUUCCAUAUAGUCUAGACAAUGCUAAACAUAAAGCCCCCCAAACAGAUCUUUCAAACUUACAGUGGUUGCCCUGCAAAAGACCCAGCCAUUGACAUUGAAGGUCGUCAAGGCCAUACGGCAUUACCCAGCUCAGUCCUCUCCAAGCUACAAUUUUGUUCUAUAGUUUCCAAACCACUAGGCAAUGCAAGAGGAUGUGGGAUACAGUUUCUGAAUGUUGCUCAUAAAAGGACACCUGUGCUCUUGAAGGCUUAGAACGUACCUCUUCACCAUGAAGGCUUUUGUCAAAGGCCCUCAUUUAAGGCCAGCCAUAAAGUCUUUUUUUUUUUUUAGGGAAAAUGGAUUUCCAUACAUUUGUGACAUAAGUUGUAGAACUAGCAUACAUGAUCCUUUCAAGGGCAAGCAUACAAGAGUCUACAGUAUAGUCUCCGACUUUCCCCCAUUCCCAAAUUAACCUGUCUUCUUUCAAUCGAUGAAUAGCUGUAAGAUUAAGAUCAGACAUUAAUCUUUGAAUCAUCAAGGUCUCACUAGCUUUGAGGGGUCUUCUCCAUUUCAGAUUCCAAUACCAAGUAUCCUCUAACCAGUAUCCCAUCUGACUAACAAACCCUAAUUUGGAGGAGGAUAGUUGGAAGAGGGUUGGAUAAGAGUUAGCUAAGCAGAAGCCAGUCAACCAAGUAUCUAACCAAAAUUUAACAUGAUUACCAUUACCCAUUUUAAGUUUACAACCAGCUUGAAUAAGAGAAUUAUCAAGAUCCGAGCUAGUAAUAGUAGAGCUGAUUCCUCGCCAAAUCCCUAAAAGUUUUUUAUUGAAUGUGGGCUUCCCACUUAUGAAUUGAGGUCUGUAUUUUGCCUUAAUGAAAUCUACCCAACUAGCUUUAUCAUUGCUUCCCAAUUUCCAAAUCCACUUGAAGAGGAGAGCUUCUUUUUUUGCUGAUAUAUUCCCAACACCUAAACCACCCCUGUCUUUUUCUUUGCCACUGUAUCCCAAGCAAGCCGAUGAAUUUCCCUAUUAUCAACACUCCCACCCCACAAAAAUUAAGACUGCAUGGCUGUGAUUUUGCGUGCCACUGUCUUUGAAAUGUUGAAGAUGGACAUGUAAUACAGAGAAAUGAUAAAGAUUACACUUUUAAUCAAUAUUCUUCUCCCUGCUAGUGAUAAUAACCAACCCUUCCAAGAGUUGAGCCAUCCUCUAAUAUGAGAGAGAACAGUGGCAAAAGAAAAGAUGCCAUGGCCAUGUAGAGAAUCAGUCAAGUUUUGUCUUUGAUACGUUACUCACUCAAAUAUAUAUUAAUUAUCUGCCUUCUUUUUUUUAUAUCAUAAAAAGAAACCUUUCACUAAAAGAUCUUGAAGUUGAUGACAAAGAAGAUUUAACCAUACAUUGACUAAAUUAAACUAAAUUAAAAUAUGAGAAAGAUAUUUUGUAAUAAACUUUAAACCAAGAUUCCUAUAAUAUUCACAUUGUUAAUCGGUUUGACUUAAUCGAAUACAAAUGCACAUUGUUAAUUGGUUUGACUUAAUCGAAUGCAAAUUCCACGCAUGUUUUUAAGAUUCACUAUAUAUAUAUAUAUAUAUAUAUAUAUAUAUAAUCAUAGGAAAAAAGGAUGCUACCUGGUGCAUGCAUGAUGUUAUAUUUAAUGAUGUUUUUAAAAUAUUUUUUAUUUAAAAAUAUAUUAAAAUAAUAUUUUUAAAAUCAACCCAUUAAAAUUAUUUAAAAAUAUUAAAAAAUUAUUAAUUUAAUUUAUUUUUAAAAAAUAUAUAAAAAUAAAAACAAUUUUUUUCGUAUGAUUAGAAUUACCAAAGAUAAUUUGGCUUUGAACACAUGUUUGAAAAGUAUAACAAAAAUUAUUUUUUAAAGUAUUUUUUAUUUAGAAAUAUAUAUAAAAACAAUAUAUUAUUAUUAUUAUUAAAAUAAUUUUUUUUAUUUUUUAAAAUUUAAUUUUGAUAUUAGUAUAUUACAAUAAUUAAAAAUAUUAAAUAUAAUUUUAUUUUCAAACUAAAAAAAUUAAUUUUCUUUUAAAAAAAACAUGUUUCACGCAUCCAAGAAUUGAAUAUAAGUAGAUUGUGGUCCAGCUCUAACCAUAAAAAAAAAAAAAAAAAAAAAGGAGUGACGGCAGAAAAGAUGCAAGUGGGGCAGAGAAAUUGACUUCGACGGUGCAGCUUGAUUUUUGCAAAUUUUCAAAUUUUUUUUUUUACUAAAAUUAAGUUUGGUUUGUAUUUUUUGUAUCGUUUUGAUGUGCUGAUAUCAAAAAUGAUUUUUAAAAAAUAAAAAAAUAUUAUUUACAUGCUUUUCGACAUGAAAAGCAACCGCUACCACACUCUCAAACACCCUCGAAGACAAGCUAGGACAAUCACAAUGAGAAAUUGACUUGAAGUAAAACAAGGACAAUCAUAAUGGGUAUGUUUAUGUUAAAUAAUAUUUUUUUUUAAUAAAAAUAUUAAAAUUAAUUUUUUUUAUUUUAAAAAAAAUUAUUUUUAAUAUUAAUAUAUUAAAAUAAUUUAAAAUAUAUAAUAUAAAAAAAUUAAUUUUUAAAAUAUAAAAAUAAACAAAACCAAAACAAUUCAAGCUACUUAAAAAAUUUAGUAAAAAAAAAAUACUCAUAAUAUAAAUAACCACAGCCACAUUAUUCGAAUUUAAAAUAUAAAAGAAACAAAUAUUUUAAUGCUAAACUACUACUAAUAGGCUACCUACUGUAUGAUUACAAGUACAUAUUAUUUGAUAACUCCGAUUACCGUUAGUUACUGUAGAAUGAAGAAUGGUGUUCUCGUCUGGAGUCGAUAACUGAUCAAGGCAGGUUUGAUCAUUCUCAAAGCGAUCGAUAUCGCCUGCUUCUGCAGCUUUGAACAAGACAGGAUCCAUAUAGGUCGUCAUACUAUUUUGUAGCUUAGAGAAACUCACUAAAUGAAAUCUAAACAAAUGAAGGUAAGAGGUUCCACUCCUCAACUGAUCACAAGCUGCUGAUUUCUGUGGUCUGCUACAAGCGUGUUAGAUAUUGUUUUUUUUUUUUUAAAUAUUUUUUAUUUAAAAAUGAUUUUUAAUAUAUAUUAUUUAAAAAUAUUUAAAAAAUUAAUUUAAAAUCAAUUUUUUUUUUUUACGUUUUGAGCAGAAACACGAAUUAUAGUGUUUGGUUUUUUUAAAAAAAGAAGCUUAGUUUUUAAUUGUGGGGGCACACCAAAAUAUCAUUUAAUUUCAAAAUAAAAAAAAUAAAAAUUUGAAAAACAUCUUGGACUUGAAGAUAAGGAGAUUGUGGUACAGCUCUAACCAGAAGAAAAACGAGUGAAGACAGAAAAGAUGCAAGUGGGGAAGAGAAAUUGACCUCGAGGAAGACAAGGAGAUUGUGGUACUGAGUAUGUUCAUGUUCAAGAACUUCUGCAAUACACGAAGAAAAAAGGCUAAAUAAAUAUAUAAAAAUCAAAUAAGAUGUGGCACUGAAAACCUCAAUUUUUGCACUCAUUGUAGAUCAUCAUGCAAUUAUUCUCGCCCUUUCUUUCCUCAACAGACCACAUAUGGAUCUGGGAUGGUUUCUUUGAGCUUGGAACCACCUCAGGUCCUCAACUGCCAUCUCUUAAAAUGCCAUUGUGUGCUUAAAAUGUCUUUUGCCCUGCUACAAAGUUCUGCUUUACAAAAUGGAACCGAUAACAACAAAUUUUUGCUUUGUCCUUGAAAGAAAUAGAAUUUUAUUUGUUCUUCUUCAAUCAUCUAUACAAUCACUGAAUAUUUUUCGUAAUUUGGUGUAGUUACUAAUUUGAAGUCGGAGUAAAAAUGUAUUGAUGGUCAAAAAAUCAAUUCCUAAUGUUUUGAGGAGCAGAGAAAUAUGUCCUUCCGAGUACACAUUAUUAUUAUUAUUAUUAUUAUUUAUUAAGAUGUGUAUUCGGGUCAGUUUGCAUGCAUCUCGACUAAUCCAACAAAUUCUGAAAUUAACAACAAUGUAAGUUUCCAGUGAUCAUCAUAUUACCAACUAAGGGUUCGAACCUGAAACUAUAGAGAAAGUAAAUCCUUUGAUUUUAAACUCUUAUCACUACCUACUAGGUGAUUUUAAAUUAUCAGGGACACAUUAUUUGAUAACCCCGAUUACCGUUAGUUACUGUAACGUAGCUGGCUCAAGCAACCAGUUACUAGACAAAACUGCACCCAACUUGGCAUGAAUCUCUUUCCCGUGGUUUUGAAUUAUCAGGGACAAUGUGGCUUGAAGACUUGAAGAUAAGGAGAUUGUUGUCUAGCUUUAACCAUAAGAAGAAAGAGGACAGAAAAGACUCAUAAAGAUGAGUAUUGAUGAAUCCAGUUUUAAGGGUCCCAACAAACCUCUCUUGGACUUGGUCAAAGGAAGGACCUUGAGCUGAGUUAAAGAGCUGAGGUAUCAGACACUAGCCUCCAUCCACCUCCAAAAAAAGAAAAAAGAAAAUAGAUCAGAUUUUGAGAGAAAAACAAAUUCUAGCGUUUUAAGCACGCACCUUCAGCAACCAUAAAAUCAGAUCUUAUUGCAUAACUCUGAGCCAGAGGAUACAAAUUCCAAGACAAGUUGAUACAAGAAAAAGAAUAAAAUUUGUCCCAACGCCAAGAGAAAGGAAAUUUCAACCACCCCUUCUUGCUAGUCUACACUGUCACCACCUUAUACGACGGUUGUCUAUUUUGUUCUGGGUGGCAUUUUAUUUGGUUCGGAUUUUUCUGCCACUUUGAAUUUAAGAAUAUACCUGGCUGAUUUGCCUCUGAAUUUAUUGUAAUUAAUCAUCCAACUUAAUAGAUCAUCCAAUUUUAUCUUGUCUCGUAGCCUUUGUCACAUGUUCACACGGUGGAAAGUAUGAAUGCACUUGGACAAAAAUAACAGCAAAGACAAAGAACACAGGUCUGGUCCUUUUCUUUUUCCUUUCACUGCUGUCCCGUUCCCUCUGCAUUUUUGUCGACAGAGCUCAAGUUUAACGUGUCAUCCGCGGAAACGAAGACUUUCAGGUAGAAUUUGAGGUUUUUUUUUUUUUUUUUUAAUAUUUUUUAUGUUUUUAUAAAAAAACAUUAUAUUAAUGUAUUUUUUAAAACAAAUUAAAUGCUCACGAAAUACUUUUUGUCCCGUCCCGUCCCUAUGCAGUAUUGUCCAUUGAGCCCAAGUUUAAUUCUGAUGCAAUCCUGUCUCAGUUUGUUUGAGGGAGGUCCAUACUUUUAAGUGGUAGUAUAAAUCAUGGUUUCCACACUUGAUUGAGUAAAGCAGAUUGAUUUAGAGUUUAAUCGGAUUUUAAUUCGAAAUUAAAUUAGUUAAGGAGAUGAUUGUUUAACUUUUUAAAAAAAUAUUUAAACUAAGAAUCAAAUCACUACCAGAAAAUCAAUAAAUACAAACGGAAAUACCGAGGGAAUAUUUCCGUCGGUCAAUUUCUGAGGGAUUUUAUCGACGCAAAUAUUCCCUCGGUAUAUACCGAGGGAAUUACCGUGGGAAAAAAAAAUUAAAACAAAGCAAAAAAAAAUAACGACGUGUCAUUUUUUACCGACGGAUUAAUAUUCCGUCGGGAAAUCCGUUGGUAAACUGUGAACAAUGUUCAUCAUGUCAAUUACAAAGGGAAUUACCGAUGGAAUUUUCCGUCGGUAUUUUCCAGAGAACUCCAGAAUUGUUCAUCUUCCAAUUGCACUGUUAAUUGUUUUACUUUACGGACAAAGUCACCGACGGAUUGAAAAUUCGUCGGUGUGUUUUGGCGGUUUUCUGAAAAAAUUCAAUUGAUUUAAAAUUUUCAUUUAAAUAUUACAUACAGAAUCACCGACGGAUUGAAAAAUCAUCAGUAAUUUUUGGCGGUUUCUGAAAACUUUUUACGAAAUUGAAAAUUUAAAUUAAAUAUUACCGAUGGAAUUAUCGACAGAAUAAUUAAAAAAUAUUAAUAUUCAAUUAUCCGUCAGUAAAUCCAUCGGUAACGCGCCCCAAUAAAAAACCUAAAUCUGCUUAUUUCAUAAGAGACAAACUCAUUAUUUCUUUUUCUUCUUCUACUACUUUUACUUCUUCUUCUUCUUCUUCUUCUUCUUCUUCUUCACUAUAUGUAAAAAACAUCAAUAUCUAUUUCUUUCUCUUCUUUUCUCUCCUCAUCUCCUUCUCUUUUCCUCCAUGCUCGGGUAUGUCUUCUUCUUCUUUCUUCUUUUAUCCUCUUAGUUUUUUUUAAUUAAUAUGCUUUGUCGCACCCCAAAAAAAAAUACAAUCCUAUCGCGGGUUCGACUGGCGAAAUUUUUUUUAUUAUUAUUUUUAUUUGAUUUGGUUCUUUGGAGUCGCCACCUAGUAUUUUGGUCACUAGGAACCCUAACUGGUCUCAGAGAUCGGGUACGGAGACUGGUUGCGUAAAAGGAAGGUAUUAGCACCCCAAAUACGUCCUACCUAAGGUAAGCUGCAUUGUUUUAUUGUCUGAUAAAAACUAAAGUGUUAUUGUACUUCUAGUCGUUGGUCUGUCUAUGGUUCAAGAAAAAUCCUCCUCUAUAAGAAGGUCUUUUAUCUUAUCGGGUAAAAUCCUAAACGUUAUAACGUCUAUACCCAAAACUUUAUUAAUAAUAUUUAGGAAUACGUUUUACGUAUAAAUUCGUAAUCCCAAAUACUAAAAUAAAACAAAAAGAUUUUUUAGAAUUUUUUGAAAUAUUGGCCUAGUUCUCAUGGCUUGAAUAAACUGGUUAUUAAAGCCAAAAUGCAUGCUAAUACAUAUAUUGUUUUGAAAAUUUUCUUUGUUGUGUGAAAAUAUGAUGUUAUAAUAUUUAUAUAUAUAUAUUGGAGAGACUAGGCCGUAUUUUAAAACAAAAACAAUUUUUAAAAAAUAUUUUUUUUUUAUGCUUUGACGAAAAUCGGGUAUUUUAAAUACUGAGCUUGUAUCCUUACGGUAUUAAAAUACAACCCAAUAUUAAUCCACUUUGAUAAAAAUAUGCAGAAAAAUCAACAACAUUUUUAGGGAAUUUUUAGAAAAAAAUUUGAAAGCAAAAACAUUUUUUAUUCUGAAAAUCUUUGAUAUUUUGACGAAAACCGGGUAUUUUUAACACUGGUUUUGUAUCCUUAUGGUAUAAAAAUACAAACCAACAUUAAACCACUUUGACAAAAAUAUGCAUAAAAAUCAACAAUAUUUUUUAAGAUUUUUCAAAAUAUUUUUUUAUUAUUAUUAUAUUUUAUAUAUAUAUAUACAUAUAUACACACAUAUAUUAUAACAUAUUAUAAUAUAUAUAAUAUAAAAACAAUUCGGGCUGGGCCGGCCCAAAUAAACGGGCCGGACUCAGCCCAGCAAGAAUGGGGUCGAUUUCGGCCCAGAAUGGAUUGGGUCGAUAUCGGCCCAAAAAAAAAUUAUAUCUGGGCCGGACUUGGCCCAGAGAGCUUGGUAUGGGCCAGACCUGGUCUGGCCCGUCAAACACAAGGCCGGGUCUGGCCCCAAAAAAAAAAUGCUGGGCCAGGAUCCGCCUGGCCCAGCUACGCAUCAUCAGGGGGGGAAUUAUUUCCCCCCCCUGCAUGCAGAACGAACGUUCUGCAUGCAGGGAAAGCAAAUAAAAAAACUAACGAAAAGGGGGAAGAAAAGGUUACCUGGCGUGGAGGAGGCGGUGCUGCGGUGGCGCGGCGGUGGCGGUGGCGUGGCUUCGCGGACGGCGGCGUUGUGGCUGUUACCAAGCGGCGGAGAGCAAAGAUUUUUUCCUCUUCCCCUCUUCUUUUUUUGUUUUCUUUAUCUCUCUUCCUUCAAUUCUCUUUGUUUUCUGUUUUAUUUUCUUUUGUUUUCGGUUUAUUCUUUUCUCUUUUCCCUGGUCCCGUUUGUUCUCUCUCUCUCUUCGGUCUCCUCUCUCUCUCCUCCCUUCGGUUUCUUCUUUUGUUCUGUUUUUUUUCGUCCCCCUCGGUGUGCUGGGUUGGGCGUUAUUUAUAGAACCCGUGGGCGUGGCCUCAAUGGCGGUAGUUGUUCUGAAAAAGGUCUGUUAAAGUUUAUGUGGGCCACAUGAUAGGUAGGUAUUUGUGGGUUAUAUGAAUCCAUUAUCUUGUCAUUGGACCCACCUUCGAAGUUGUUAACGGGACCUUUCAAUUUUCUUCCGAAAAAACCCUUUGUCUCCAAUGGCUCAAUUAUGCGUCCAGCUUUAAUCCCUUGCUCUAUUCUUUCCGCUAUGCGUACAACAUCAUAGAAAUGUUGAGAUGAGCUACCCAUUAAAUGCUCAUAGUAGGGUGCCUUGAAUGUGUUGGCGAACAAAGUCACCAUCUCCGUUUCUAUCAAAGGGGGUUGCACAUGCAUGGCCUCGUCCCUCCAUCUUUGCGCAUAAGCCCUUACUGAUUCUUGGCUUCUCUUUUCCAUUGACAUAAGGCUCGUUCGAUCUGGAGCAAUUUCCAAAUUGAACUUGUAUUGCUUAAGGAAAGCCUCAACUAAAUCCUUCCAUUUCUUGAUCUUGGCAUUAUCCAGCCUCAUGUACCAACUUAGCGCCGACCCCGAUAGACUGUCUUGGAAAAAGUAGAUCAGUAACUUAUCGUCAUGAAUCACCUCAGCCAUCUUAUUGCAAUAAGAUCGAAGGUGAGUGUUUGGGCAUUCCAACCCAGUGUACUUUAUAAACUCCGGUAUCCUAAAUUUUUGGUACCGUGAUGUUUGGUACCAAGCAUAUUUCAGACGCUCGCAUGGGGUCAAACCAGUCAUUUCCCUCGACUGCUCUUAACCUUUCUUCCAAGGCUGAUAUCUUGUCAUCGUUCAUAAAUCCAGUGGACCUAUUAUCGGAAGGCCCAUCUGCACACAGUGAUGAGCUUGAGGGGGCUGAAUGGGAAUGGCAGGUGCAAAGUGCUGCCCCGUCACUGAAUCUGCCCCCAAGUUCUGAGAUACCCCCGGGACAUGAACUGACGGUGCUCCUAUAGGUGGUUGGGUAGACGUUCCCUCCCCGUUCUUGGCUCUUAAAAGUUGCUCAAGCAGAUUGGUCAGUCGAGAAACUUCAUUUUUCACGAUUCCAACUCGGUCUGGUAGUGCGACUCUAAUGAGCUCUUUCUUCGUUUUCCAUUCUUGAUCUGGACCGGGUUUGGUGGACUCUGGAUGUGGACCUAUGUUUCACGAUCUGGAAUGCAUAUGAUAAAAAAAUACUGUGAUGAAAAUGUGAUGCAUAAGUGAUGCGAUGAGUAUAAUAUUGCAAAAAAGAUACAUAACCUAAGGACAAGCUCUAUUUAUUAAGUGAGAGUGGGUAGAUUUUCUAUCUAGUCUUGAAGGUUCUCAUAUCUGCCCAGUGACGUUCUUCGUAAAGACAGUAUGGGGGCGUUGCAAGGAACAGUUAAGACACGUAUGUCCACCAUUACCAAGCAGGCACUCAGAUAUGAGUUGGGUGUUUCACGCAUUUAAACCCUGACCAAUAGUCUUAGGGUAAAUCGCUAAUUCCCCACUUAACUUAAGGCUUGUGUGUGCUUUUCAAAAUAAAAGCAAGUGAUGCAUGAGACAAUUUUAUACAAUGCAUGAAUAAUAUGCGUAAAAUAAAAAUAAAUAUGCAAAUAAAAGGAAAGGCAUAUUAACAAUAAACACAUAAAAACACAAACAAAUCAGACAAAAACAAAACUUAGUCUACAAGGUCCCUAGUGGAGUCGCCAUUCUGUCGCACCCAAAAAAAAAAUACAAUCCUAUCGCGGGUUCGACUGGCGAAAUUUUUUUUUUAUUUAUUUUUAUUUGAUUUGGUUCUUUGGAGUCGCCACCUAGUAUUUUGGUCACUAGGAACCCUAACUAGUCUCAGAGAUCGGGUACGGAGACUGGUUGCGUAAAAGGAAGGUAUUAGCACCCCAAAUACGCCCUACCUAAGGUAAGCUGCAUUGUUUUAUUGUCUGAUAAAAAACUAAAGUGUUAUUGUGUUCCUAGUUGUUGGUCUGUCUAUGGUUCAAGAAAAAUCCUCCUCGUAAGAAGGUCUUUAUCUUAUCGGGUAAAAUCCUAACCGUUCUAACGUCCAUACCAAAAUUUAUUAAUAAUAUUUAGGAAUACGUUUUACGUAUAAAUUCGUAAUCCCAAAUACUAAAAUAAAACAAAAAGAUUUUUUAGAAUUUUUUGAAAUAUUGGCCUAGUUCUCAUGGCUUGAAUAAACUGGUUAUUAAAGCCAAAAUGCAUGUUAAUACAUAUAUUGUUUUGAAAAUUUUCUUUGUUGUGUGAAAAUAUGAUGUUAUAAUAUUUAUAUAUAUAUAUUGGAGAGACUAGGCCGUAUUUUAAAACAAAAACAAUUUUUAAAAAAUAUUAUUUUUUUUAUGCUUUGACGAAAAUCGGGUAUUUUAAAUACUGAGCUUGUAUCCUUACGGUAUAAAAAUACAACCCAAUAUUAAUCCACUUUGAUAAAAAUAUGCAGAAAAAUCAACAACAUUUUUAGGGAAUUUUUAGAAAUUUUUUGAAAGCAAAAACAUUUUUUAUUCUGAAAAUCUUUGAUAUUUUGACGAAAACCGGGUAUUUUUAACACUGGUUUUGUAUCCUUACGGUAUAAAAAUACAAACCAACAUUAAACCACUUUGACAAAAAUAUGCAUAAAAAUCAACAAUAUUUUUUAAGAUUUUUCAAAAUAGUUUUUUAUUAUUAUUAUAUUUUAUAUAUAUAUACAUAUAUACACACAUAUAUUAUAACAUAUUAUAAUAUAUAUAAUAUAUAAUAUAAAAACAAUUCGGGCUGGGCCGGCCCAAAUAAACGGGUCGGACUCAGCCCAGCAAGAAUGGGGUCGAUUUCGGCCCAGAAUGGAUUGGGUCGAUAUCGGCCCAAAAAAAAAUACAUUUGGGCCGGACUUGGCCCAGAGAGCUUGGUAUGGGCCAGACCUGGUCUGGCCCGUCAAACACAAGAGUCUGGCCCCAAAAAAAAAUGCUGGGCCAGGAUCCGCCUGGCCCAUCUACGCAUCAUCAGGGGGGGAAUUAUUUCCCCCCCCUGCAUGCAGAACGAACGUUCUGCAUGCAGGGAAAGCAAAUAAAAAAACUAACGAAAAGGGGGAAGAAGAGGUUACCUGGCGUGGAGGAGGCGGUGCUGCGGUGGCGUGGCUUCGCGGACGGCGGCGCUGUGGCUGUUCCCAAGCGGCGGAGAGAAAAGAUUUUUUCCUCUUCCCCUCUUCUUUUUUUGUUUUCGGUCUUUAUCUCUCUUCCUUCAAUUCUCUUUGUUUUCUGUUUUAUUUUCUUUUGUUUUCGGUUUAUUCUUUUCUCUUUUCCCUGGUCCCGUUUGUUCUCUCUCUCUAUUCGGUCUCCUCUCUCUCUCCUCCCUUCGGUUUCUUAUUUUGUUCUGUUUUUUUUCGUCCCCCUCGGUGUGCUGGGUUGGGCGUUAUUUAUAGAACCCGUGGGCGUGGCCUCAACGUGGAGCCCAGGAGCGGGUCGAGGAGCGGCUGUCCGGGCGGGCCUCCCUCGGCUUCGGCGACGCGGCGGGUGGUCGGCCAUGGUCUUCUGUCGGUGGCCCACCGGCGUAGGGCCUCGGUCGGUGGCAAGAGGGACCUGCAAAGAAAUAAAAAAAAAAUGCAAACUUUUCCUUCUUCCCCGCUGUAAUGUUCGGGGGGAAGAAGAAAGUGAACAGUGCCGUUCAAAACUGCACCGUUUGGUCUCUUUUUUUUUUUUUUUAAUUUAUUUAUGCAUGAAACGGCGUCGUUUUGGAUAAAACGCGCCGUUUCAUUUUAAAAUAAAGGCGCCAGAAACUUUGUUUUGAAUCAGUCCCUAAUUUGUCAUUUGUUCUAUUAAGUCCUUCAAUCGAGUCCUUCAAUCAAGAAUAAAAGUCAAUUGCGUCCCUGCCAAAUUUAGUCCCUACCCCUAUAGUUGGCCGCGUUUUUCACUUUGGUCCUUGGCCUAUGAUUUUUACAAUUAAGCCCCCUAAUUGAUCAAUAAACUUCCAAUUUUUUCAAUUAAGCCCCUGAAACAAUUCCAAACAGCCCCCUUUAUCUUUGCGUCUUCUCCAAAUUGGUCCCUGGUUUCGGAUUUUCAUAAUUAAGUCCUUAAUUGGCCAUUAAACUUCAAUAUUUAUGCAAUUAAGCCCCUGAUUUGACCCAAUAAAUUCCUAAAAAAUAUAUUUUGGCCCCAGAACUUAAAUUUCUUCAAAUUAAAGCCCAAAUUGACUUAAAAAUCAAUUUUUCUUGCAAUCAAAUCUUCUAUAAAUUCAAAUAAAAAUCCAAUUAAGUCCAUAAACAUCCAAAUUUGGGUUUUUCUCCUCACAAUUCAAAUUUUCCUUCUCAAUAGGGCUUUCAUCCUUCAAGAAUAUACUGUAAAAAAUUCAAUCCUUGUAUUUUUAAAUUCCUUGACCAAUUUUCUGACUGUUUCCUGAGCGCUUCUGCCUCCUGUUAUUUUUUCUAAACUCUUUUGGCUAUUUAUUUUAUUUUUUAUGGGGACCCAAAAAUGGGUUACAACAUGCUUUACGAAUUUUGUUUUCCUUAGCUUCACUUGCAAGUAUAUUAAGGUAAGAUUUUUCUUUUUUCUUAUUGUUUCAUGAUUUUUUUCACUAUAUUUGUUUUUUAUUUAAUUUUAAUUGAUUUUGUUCAUAAUAAUUGUAUAAAUGUUGUUGUGAGAUUUUUUUUUUCAUAUGAGAUCAAUUUUUAAUUGAUUUAUUUAUAGGAUUCUUAAAUUUUUAGCAAUUGCAACUUCAUUUUUUUCAUAUGAAUUUUUUUAGUUGAAUUAAUUUUUUUGUUUUAUUUAUUUGUUGCAAAUUUAUUUGAGUUGAUUUUCUUCUUUUUUUUUCCAAGCAUUUUGAGUAUAUAAUUUUGAUUUAUGUUAAUUUAAUUAUUUUAUAAUUUUAUAAAACGAUUUUUUUAAAAUGUUUUUAAAUCAUUACCGACGGAUUUACCGACGCGUCUGUUCCGCCAGUAAAUCCGUCGGUAAUAUUAUUACCAACGGACAAAAAAUUACCGACAAAAAAUUCACCGACAGAAAUUUUCCGUCGGUGAUUUCGUUGGUAAAUUAAUUACCGAUGGAAUAUGUGUCUUACGCCGACGGAAAAAUUCCGUCGGUAAAACUGUUAAAUCUUGUAGUGAAUCUUGAUAUAGCUUCUGUUUUAAAUAAAAAUGCUUUGUCAACACCUUAUAUCAACACAUUUGAUAGAAACUGAUUUUAAUAUUAUAUAAUUUCACCACUACUGUAUAAUAUAAUCAAAGACUAAGGUGAAAUUCUUACAUGUUGUAACUCAAUUUUGACCAAUUGACUUUUUAAUUUAAUUUUAUAGGGUUUAAAAUGUAAAAUUAAAAUAUCAAAGAUAUAUUUUGAUGAAAAAUAUGAUUUGUCAACUUGCAUGAAACAAGCUAACUAGCGGGCACAAAACAGCCAAUGAAGGAUGUUGUUCAAGAUGCGGUCUGAAUCGUGUUUUUUUUAAAAAAACAAUUAAUUAAAAAUAAUUUUUUAAAUAUUUUUAGAUCGUUUUGAUGGUUGAUGUUAAAAAUAAUUUUAAAAAAUAAAAAAAAAUUAUUUUGAUACAUUUUUAAAUAAAUCACUUUAAACUUUCACCGCUAUGAAACUUGGCAUAUCCCACUUUUCAUAGUAGUUUUCUUACAAUAUUUUGAGAUUAUUGUAAAGUGUUUUUUAAAAUAUUUUUUUAUUUAAAAAUAUAUUAUGAUAUUUUUUUUUUGUAAGAAUUUAUUUUUAAUAUUAAUAUAUUAAAACAAUUUAAAAUUAUAAAAAAGUUAAUUAAUUUUUUUUAAAAAAAUUCAAUAAUACUUUCUAAACACAAAAACAAAUACUUUACAAGUACAAACUUGAUUAAUAAACAAACCAUCCAAGCAAAUUGUACUUGGAAAAUAAAUGUAUCUGUCCCAACUAGUAGUUGUGUCUAUAUCCUUGUAAAUGAGCCUAAGACUAAAUACAGAAGGAAGAAGAAGAUCAAACCAAUGAGACAACUAAUGUUGAAAACAAGCCCUACUGAAGGUACUAGAACUGCGUAUGUGCGAAUGCGAUAAUCAUUGUCCCCAUGCCAAUUAUGGUUAACAACAUUGCAACCGCAAAUAAUCUUAGAGUGGUUUUCAAAUUCAUUUCUUCACCCUUAUUCAUUUCCAAAUCUUGAAUCAACACCGUCAAAAAAAUGAAUAAUUAGAUACAACAGAAAUAGAGAGCAUCAUUGACAUUGCAUCUAAUAUGACAAAUACUAUAAAAAUAGCUUUUUUUAGCUAGAAUUGCAAUGCCUCCGUCACUCUUGUAACUGCCAGGUAGGAUGAAUGGUGCUACAAAUAUUAAUGUUGCUAUCAAUGUUGUAACUACUAGAUGAGACUCUCUUGCUUUACUUAAAUCAUCCUCUUCCUCUUUGUUUUCCUCCUUCUCUUUUCUCAAAACAAAGCGCCGGACCAAAUGGUCCCCUGCCAACAUCAUCAAAGGAUUCUAGGAUCGUUUUCUGCAAAAUAUUUAGGGUAAAAUAUCAUAGAUAUCUAUUAUUUUUUUCUAUUUAAUUAUCAGAUUAUUUAAAUUUUAAUUAAUUGUAUUUUUUCAUUCAAUUGUACUGCUUUUUGUUUUUUUAUUGAAUAAUAUGUUUUUAUAAAGUAGUUACAUGCGAUUGAUAUGCAUAAUUUAUUAUCGUAGAUGAAAAACUUAACAAAAUCAAUAAAAUAACUUGAUUUCAAAUAAAAAAGAUUAUUAAGUUAUUUAGAUGAAUUCAUUUUUAUGUUUGGUAUUGCAGUACGAAUGGUUUUUAAAAAGAAAAUCUUUCUUGAAAAUUAAGUUAAUUUUUUCUUUGACUGGAAAAUAUUUUUUAUUGACCAACUUUUUAAAUAGCAAACAAACACAGUAAAGUUUGAAAAGUAAUUUUUAAAAAAAUAAUUAAAAUAAUAUAUCAGCAUGUUAAAAUGAUUUAAAAACAUUAAAUAUAAUUUAAUUUCAAACUUUAAAAAAAUUGAAAUUUAAAAAAAACAUGCUUCACACAUCUUAAGACUUGAAGAUAAGAAGAUUAUGGUCCAGCUCUAACCAUAAGAAAAACGAGUGAAGACAGAAAAGAUGCAAGUGGAGCAGAGAUAUUUAAAUUGUUUGUGAAACUUCUAGAAUCAUUUUUAUUCUAAUCUCUCACAGAACUCAGACAGCUUCCUCUGCUUUAUUUAUUUAUUUAUUCAUAUUGAUGAAUUGGUAUAAAUAGGCUUACAAGCCUAGCUAGUAAAUGGAAAUAGCCAAAAUAGUUACUUCUAUCAACAACCAUUUUCAACAAACAAACAGUCAUACAAGAUGAAUUCCUUUGAUCAACAAAUGAAUAGCAUCACUUACAUGGAAACAAAAUUGUACGAAGCUGCAGAAGCAGGCAACAUCAACCCAUUUAAGGAUCGUCUUCCAACUUCUCUCAUUGAGCUAUUGACUCCACAAAAAAACACAAUUCUUCAUGUUUACUUCGAAAACCAACGUAGAGGAUGGAGAUCCACUGAUUUUGUUGGCCAAAUUAUUGAUAUGUGUCCACAACUGCUAUUGCAAGCCAAUACUAAAGGCGAAACCCCACUCCAUUUUGCGGCAAGAUAUGGGCGUUCCAAUGCAGUGGAAGUCCUCAUUGACCGCGCAGAAGCUCGACCUACUGAUCCAGAGAGCGGAGUAACAGAAGCAAAAAAGAUGUUGAGGAUGACCAAUGAAGAGCAAGAUACAGCGUUGCAUGUGGCAGCUCGAAAUAUCCAAGCCCAAGUGGUGGAAAUAUUGACAAAAGAGGACCCUGAGUUUUCAUAUUCCGCCAAUGUUCAUGGAGAAUCUCCACUUUAUAUUGCUGCCAAUAUGAGGUUUGUGAACAUUUUUUUAGUCUCAAACAGAGUUUGAUACCGAUUCGAUACUAUAUGUGACCAACAUCUUUUUUUUUUCUUUUAAUAUAUACUAGAUUAAUCAAUUUUUUACUAAUCUAUUUAUCAAUCUAGAAUACUAUCGUUUUAAGAUUAUAUAAAUGUAAUUGUUGCAUGAUUAAUUUUAAUUUGUUCAGCUUUAUAAUGUUUAAGUAAAUCUGUUUUUAAAAUUAUCAUAAGAGAUAUUAGAAAAGCAAUGCUUCUAUAAUAAUAGGAUUUUACCUGGUUAUUUUUUUAUGCUAUGUAUGUUCUUGAACUCGAGACAUAUUAAUUCAAUAUGAAUAAGUUCACUUAUCUCCCUAAUUGUUUUUUAAGAACAAUAAAAAAUAGCAAAAUUUAAUGGUUUUUAAUUCUGUUUUAUUGGACUUAAAAUCUUGCUACAUAAGUAUUUAUUGGACUUAAAAUGUUAAUAAAAAUCACAUAUAUCUAAUUAUGAUUAUAUUGCUGCCAAUGUAAGGUUUAAUUGGAUGUUUAAAAGACAUGAAGAAAAUAGAAAAAAAGUGAUCGACGAAAUCUUGAGUAAUUGCAAGUCAGUGGAAUAUUGUGGUUCUCAUGGCAGAACCGCACUACACGCGGCAGCCAUGCAUGGUGAUCAUGGUAAGAUUUUAUUCUGAACUGUAAAUCCUUGAAUUCAUAAAUUAUUAUCGGAAACCAUAACUGUGAGAAGUGUGUUCUUAUCUUAAAUUAUUUCUUAUCUGUUUGCCAUUUUAUUGUACUCAUUUAUUUUAUGUUUCUUAAAAAAAAUCUUAUUUUAACCUUUAGGAUAUUGUUCUUUUCAUUGUUCAUUUGUCAAAUUCUUCGUUUACUCUAUCACAUUAAUAUUUGAUAUAUAUAGAAGUUAAUAAAGGGGUAAAAAACAAAAAUAUUCAUUUUAUGUUUGUUAAAUUAAAGGUUAAAUUGUAUUUAUUACUUACAUAAUUCUUUGGAAGAUAUAUACAAGGUAAAGAAAAUACAUAUUAAGAAGACAAUGAAUUUCCUAGUCUAUUUAAUUAAGGACUUAUUUGCAUGAUUAUAUAUAAGAUUUUAGGACCAAAUUGUUCUUAUAUACGUUUGUAUGUAAGGAAUCUAUAUGACAUGUAUGUGUGGGCGAAUCAUUUCCAUAUUAUUAUUGAACAUAAAAAAACGUAGAAAGAUAUUAAAAAAAUGAUGCAUAAACAAUAUUGAAUAGCGACUAUAAGAACCCAAGAACGUAGAAAGCAAGAAAGGGCAUUUAUAAUACAAUUAAAGAGAGAAAAAUGCCAAAUUAAAUAUUAACUUAUCACUAAAUUAGUAGCGUAGAUUACGCAUUAACCAUAAUAUUAUUCAUAUAUUACCUAAUAUGUACCAUAUUUUUUUUAUGGUUUAUUGCAGAGACAGCAAGAAAGAUAUUAAAAAGCGACGCGAGUUUGACGAGAAGAACCGACGAUGACGGGUGGUCACCACUUCACUACGCUGCCUUUUUCCCUACUUUAUUGCCAGGUUCUCUAACAGUAAAAGUAUUACUAGAACAUGAUGUGUCCGCAGCCUACAUUGUUGAUUCAGAGAAGAGAACAGCCCUUCACUUGGCCGUCGUUCGAGGCAAUGGGGCAGCAGUGGGAGCGAUUAUGAACGCUUGUCCAGCUUGUUGUGAACUAGUGGAUAGCGGAGGUCGGAAUGUCCUUCACUAUGCUGCCUUAACUCUAAAAGGAGCACUUACAUCUAUGUCUUUCCCUCGAUUGAUUCCUAAAUUUGACAAACUUAUAUACGAGAAGGAUAACAAUGGAAACACACCAUUGCAUCUAUUUGCUGCUUUCGGCAGUUAUCCCCAGAAGUUUCUGAGUAGUGAUUGUAGACAUGUGUACAAGAAGAUGUGUGGCCUUAACAAGCAAAACCUCAGCAUUGAUGACAUCUUGGAACGAAAUUUUCCUGAAGAAAAGGUAAUUCCCUCUAUUUGAUUUUUUAACGAGUCGCACUCGUACACGCGAAAAAGUCUUUGCAUUUGAAAAAGCUCGCUAACUUACCAAAAAAAAUUAAAUUUAAAUUGUCAGAGGAAUGAUGUAAGAUUAUUUUCAUAACUAUCAAAGGACGCAUCAAGAGAAUUUAUAAUAUUCAUUCAAUCUUGUUAAAGAAAAAAAAACUUCAACUCUAACAAUAAAUACGUAUGCACCUUUAAUAAAUCACAUCAAUCAAACAUAAAUUCACUUCGUUAUUCUCUUUUUUUAAAAAAAAUAGAAUAAAAAUAGAAUAGAAAUCCUUUUGUCAAUAUAACAAAAUUAUACCUUCAACAUCAACACUUAUAAUUGAUUAACACUAUUUGCUUUGUCCCUAGACUGAUGUUGGUUUCUUUAUUUGUUUGUUUUAAGAUGUGUUUGAUAUUAUGGUAUAAAAUAUUUUUAAAAAUUAUUUUUGUUUUGAAAAUAUAUUAAAAUAAUUUUUUAAUUUUUAACAUUAAAAAAAUACUAAAAAGUUUCAUUUGAUUUUUUUUUCCAGCGAGACACUUUUAAAUCAUACCUAAAAACAGUUUAAAAUUAAAAAACAAACAGCCCUCUCGUAGCAACAAAAGCAUUAUAUAUUGUUGCUAGCUAAAAGAAACAAAAUUACUUGAUUUCAAACUCGCUGGUUAUGAUAUCAAACAAAGGUUGAGAGUCUACAGAUGAUAAAGGAAAAGAAAGAUUCGUUUAAUUUCAUUGCCGAAACUUGUUGCAGAAAGAGAUUUUGGAAUCAUUGAAAGAUGUACGGAGUGGACUGCUUCAACGGCCCAUAGCUAUGCUGACACUAGACGACUUCUUUUAUUACCGACAGUGGAAUGGACGCUCUUAUAGUUGUAGCGGCACUCGUAGCAACAGUAACAUUUGCAGCUGCUUUCACGAUGCCUGGCGGUUACAAGAACGAAAAAGGCACUCCAGUUCUUCUUAAAAAUACUGCUUUUGCAGUCUUUGUUAUAUCAGAUGCAGUAGCAAUGGUUCUCUCAACUUCUGCUCUCUUCAUGCACUUUUCUAGGGCACUGCUUGGAAAAAGAGGUCAAGUGGAAGACGAUAUAAAAGAAACCUUCUCUUAUAGGACAUCUACUUUAACCAUAUGUGCCAUCCCAGCAAUGGUCAUCGCAUUCAUCACAGGAAGUUAUGCAGUGCUAGCUCCAUCAUUAUGGCUUGCAAUCACGACUUGUUUCAUUGGUGUAGCCUUCUUCUUCUUUGCGUGCCAGGCAUUCAUAGUUCAAUUCCGCACCCUCAUAAAAUACUGAAAAUAAACACUUCACAGCAGACUUUAAAAGAGUCUGAUAUUGAAGAAGAUUGAUUCUCAUUUAGCUCGUGUUAUAAACUAUCUUCUCGUCAUCUUCUUGAUGGCAUCAACUGUAACGUUGGCUUUAUUUAUCAAUAUAUUUCACCUUGCUUUUCACGAGUACAAUGAUCGAAAAAUUCAAUUUUGGCACUUGGGAAAUGCUAACAUCUUCAAUAUAGAGAUCAUAGAAUGACGGCUCACAAGUUCACCAUUAAUUCUAGAUGAAUAGUAACUGAGCCAUAAUUUUCGAAGGACUUGAAUUUCUAAUAUAUUAGAAUUUCCAUUAAUUGCUGAAUGGUCAUUUGGACUUCAAUUUCUACACAUUGCAACUUCAUUCACAAGAACGACAAAAAAGCACAUAAACAUUUUGAGAAAUUAAUAAAUGAUGUAAUGCUAUUAUUUAACUCCGAUCUGGUGGGUUAUGAAGGAGAUGAAGCUGAUGACAACACACAAUGUUGAGUUUUUCAGACCCUAAUUCCACUUACAAGGUGUAAAAAAUGUAGUUAAAACUCAAUUUGAAUAACAAAGAUAAAAAAAAAAAAAUCAAAUUAUUUUUAUGUUUAUUAAAAUUAGACAAGAAAUGAGUAAAAACAAAUUAGAAAACUUGAUUCAAUCAAAAAUUAAAAUUAACUUAUAAUCAAGUCAACCCGAGAUAAAACACAAUUAAAAAAAUUUUAAUUUUUUUUUGAUAACAAGAUUGGUUUAAUUUAUUUUUAUUUUAUAUCAAUUUAAAUUGAUCAUCUUGUCUCAUGACUAGGCUAGACCUAGAUUAGAUUUUAAAACAAUUAUAAUAAUUAUUUUUAUUCAUGUAUUAAUUAAAUUAAUCCUAGUUAAUCUUCCUAACACAUCUCGCCUUAGGUCAUCACUUAUAUUAAGUUUUAAGCUAUGAAAAUAAUUAUUUUUAUUUUUAUAUUAACCCAAAUUAAUGAUUAACAUAUGAUUUAUGACUCAAACUUUGCCUUGAGUGAAUUAUUAUUUAAAUUUAAAAAUUAUGAUAAUAAUUAUUUUUAAUUUUUAUUAACACAGAUAACCUAAGUUUUUUUUUUUUUUUAGAAAAUUUAACGAUGUUGUUCUACUCCUUUUAAUAAACAAAUAUUUCUUCACUGGAAUGGCCUUGAUAGAACAAAAAAUAAAUACUCCAAAAAACUUCACAAAAAGAUUAUACCGUCCAAUCCAUUUUUACAGCAUAUCAAACACUACAUAAAUUUCAAAAUCAAAUUACCUCAGUUAAAUCCAUUAAUAUCAUCGUAAUGUAGCUUCCACCAAGUAGGUUCUCCCUGAUAAACAGGGACAUGGCUCCACUACACCUUCAACAAAUUGGAUUAUAUCAUCAUAGGCAAUCUUACAUUACAAUUUUGCUCAAACCAAAAAUUACCAUAGCCAACUCUCAAAAACCUUAAACCUCCUACAUAUUACUUUAACAUUAAAAAUAGAUAUACAAGGAAUUCAUGAAUGGAUGCAAUGUAAUAAGCUAUUCAAACUAUUUUGUAUCUAUAAAUUAAAUGGAUCAGAGUUAUAACAGCUCUAUCAAUCAAGAAUUUUCAGUAGCAGAACUGGCAUUAAAGCUGUCUAUUAAUCAUCAUUGCCAAAAAUUUAUGGAAAAAAGCAUAACUUUAAUCACAGAGCAAACAGAACCUAAGAUCGAUCAAUAAAACGAAAACUUGAUGAAUCCAAUCAAAACUUGAUUUAUCUCUUUGCUUCAUUGAUUUCUCUCAGAAUAGCGAUAAAUCCAAUCUAAUAAUCGCCAACAAAUUCAAUAACAUAAAACAAUCAAAACUUGAUGAAUUUGGAGGGAUUUUUUUGAGGCAAAACCAUUGACACAAAGGGCAUAAGCCCCACGUGAACACCACCAAAAAAGACUCAAUCCUUGCCCCAGUGACUAGCUUAAUUUCCACCAUAGUUCUCAAAAAAACAAGCUAGGGGUACAGAGAGGCAGCAAAAAAACACAUACCCAGAUGAAAAAAAUGAGAAAUUUUUAAAAAAUGAGAGAUGUAGUCGUUGAUUUGACACAGAUAAGCCAUGGAAAAAGGUACAAGAGGCUAAACUGCAACACUGAACGGCAGGAUUUUUUAGCACGAGCAUUGGAGCUUUCUACUUCAGUGAAUGGUAACAAGUGAUGCCUAGGAGGCAUUAUUCAUAGAGAAUUUUGUUAAAAGAAAAGGUUUUGAAAGGAUUUGCGAUGAAAACAGGGUUUUUGGAGACGUGGAGCCUGCUAAUGGAGAGAAACAGAGUUGUCAAUAAGUUAUAUAGAGGCUGUAAAGAGCUAUAAAACCCUAGUUUUGUUAUCUGAGGAGGUAUUUUGUGUUUUUUGGGUUACGAGGCUGCGCUUGUUUUUCACAUAUUUUUGUAUUUACAAUAAAACAAAUAUAAUAAGAUAUUAUAUUUGAUAGUAUGAUUUCAUUAAAAAAUUAAAUUUGAAAAAAGUUUGUGUAUAGUUUUUACAUGUUUUUUAAUUUAGUUUUGUAAAAUUUUAUUUAUUUUUACAUUUCAAGAGCUUUUAAAAAAAUUAAAUUUUUUUUUAUUAUUUUUACUUCAAAUUGAUAUAUUUUAUGAUGUUUUUAAAUCAUUUUAAUGUGCUCUAAUUUGUUUCGGGAGUUCAAGGUAUUGAUAUUUGAAGUUUAUUUUUUAUUUUUUAUCUUUAAUUACUUGAUAAUUUUAACGAACAUAAAUUUUAAUUUUUUGAUCUAAAAAAUCAAUAACAAAAUAAUCCUUCUUUUUCAUUCUUCCAAAAAUAGGUUUAUUAGGUUUAGGGCUGGAUUUGGGGUCAUCCAUUUCAAAACCAAAAUAUCAUGAAAAAUAAAAUAAAUUAUUAUAUAUUUUAUCUAUGUUGAAAAAAUAUUUUAGCUCUUUUUUUUAAUUUUUUGAUAUAAUUAUUUUGGUUUUAGUGGUUAUUGUUAAGAUUUCUAAAUUUGGUAAAAUAUUUUUUGGACUAGAUUUUAUAUAUUAUAACUAAAUUUAUUUUCAAUUAGAUUUUAAAUAAAUCAUUUAUAUCGAAAUCGAUGUAUAUCAUAAAAAAAUAAUAUAAAGAAUCAUUGAUAUUUUUAAAUAUUUUUAUAUAGUUUAUUGCCUCUGUUUCUUUAAAUAAUUUGUUUUUAUUAUCGUUGACACCUUUCUUUUCUUAUUUUACUAUUGUUAUUCCGGCUACAGUUACUAACAAUAACAUUAAGAAUUAAGGGAAAAUCACGUACUUGCACUGUUAAUGUAAAUAACACAAGCAGGUCCUUUUUUUUUCUUUUUUAAUUUAAAUUUCAUUACUCAAUAAUAAUUAUUCUUUAUAAUUUAUUUUGGUUUGUUUUUUUAUAAGGUUAUUAUAUUUUCAAACAAAUAAAUUGUUAUUUGAUUGGUUCUUAAUUUUAUAACCAUUUAAUUUUAUUAUCAUAAAAUUAAGUAAAAUUUAGUUUCAAAAAACAAAAUUAUUAAAUUUAGUGAAGUUUAUAACUCGGGUUGCGGAUUUAGUGGGUUAAGCCGCAACGCUUAAAAUAUUGUUGUCUCAAUAUUAAAAAAAAAUAUCAUAUUGAAUUUUUUUUUAAACCAAUCCAUAUUUUUACCGGUUAUUUCAUAGUCUUUAGAUUCAUCAAAUAGAUUAGGUCACAUUGAGGCAAAAAAAGUAUAAAUAACAAAGUUAUUAUACCUCGAGGAGUCCAUAACUUGGAUAGCGAGUUUUAAGGGUUAAACUAAAAAGCUCGGGUCGGUUUAAUAUGUUAUAUUUUAAUAUUUAAAAAAUAAAAAUUAUUUUAAAUAUUUUUUAAAAUUAAAUUAUAUUUUUACCGGUUAUCUAAGUUACUUUUCAAAUCGACAACUUUUAACUAAAUUAUGACUUGAUCCAUCCUUUAUAGAAGUACACAGACAUCUUAGGAUUCCUCCUAAGUUUAGUCACAAAAAAAAAAAAUUCAAAUUAAGAAUAAAUUGUAUUCCAUUGUCCGCAGGAGUAUAAAUUACGAACGACUAAAUAAAAAAAAAAUCUCAUUUUUCUUGUUUUAUUUUAUAUCCUUGGUUUUAAAAUACUUUGAAAUCCAAUUCAAGGAACAAAAGAAAAUAAAUGAAAAGAUACAUUCAUCUAGGUGCUUGCAACAACUUGUCCGAAUAAAUUAAUGAAAUAAAAAUUCUUCAAAAAGAAAGAGAAAAUUAAAUGUCUUCUCAAACUAAAUGUUUACUUAUAAAUGUAAAGUAAAUAAAACAAUAAAUCAAUAAUUGAAUAAAGGGUUAUUACAUAAUAUUUGUCCAGCUUGAUUGUCAUUCGAAGUAAAGUCUGCUUUAGAUGCCACCUUGUUUGGUUUACCUCCUUUAUAUCAUCAGCACUCUAGGGUGCUUGAUCUAACUUUAAAAGUUAUUCCUUUGGACUUAAUUUCGUCAUAUGUAUUAUAUUUCUUAUCAUAACUUAAUUUUUAAAUAAAUAAUAAAAAAUAUAUAUAUAGUUGAAAAUGAGGGUAAGACAACACAAAUUCAAAUUUCAGAGAUGAAAUUAUCAAAUUUAAGAGUUAAUUGGUCAGAAAUUAAAGAAUUAAUAAGUUUGAGAAUUUAAUUAAAAUUUUAAUUAGUUUAAUUAAUGAAAUCAAGAGUUUAAUUGGAGAAUAAAUAAGUUUGCAGACUUAAUUAAACUUUGAUUUAAUAAAUUAAAUAAAUUCAGGGAUUUAAUUAAAAUUAAUCCAAGGGGCAAAAUUAAAAUUUGUUGAUUAAGGGACCCUAUUGAUACAUUUCAAAAUAUCAGGGACUAAAUUAUAAUUUGUCAUUUUCCAUGCCAAAUGACGCCGUUUUGGAUAUUACUGUUCAUCAUCUGUUUGCCGAAGACCAGUUCAACAGGGCAAAUGCAGCAAUCACGGCCACUAUACCCACGAUGCCGCCCACGAUCUCUCGCCUCCACGAUGCCCGCCAUUGCUGGAGGCAGGGACACAAGACCUUCUCUGGCUUUAUAAAAGCCAGAGAAAGGCCUCGGAGAGGGAACCGAAAGGAAAAACAGGGAGCACGAACGAAAACAGAGAGGGGACUAAAAACAGAGAAACAGUGAGAGAGCCAAAAAGACAGCAUUCCCAGCUUUGUCUUCGCUCUCAAAACGCAUGUGAAGUGCAGAGAAACUGCAAGCGUUGGUCAGCCUAAUUAUUCGUCUCCAGCUACACACUCCAAACCAUCAGGGGAAAGGAGACGACGAGCAGGGAGACUGGGAGAAAGUGGGCUGAAGACACAAACCAGAGAAAAUAAAAACAAAAGGGGACGCUCUCGACUUCUUCGGUGGCAGCUCUAAAAGCUCCAUUUUCAGCAGCCACUGCUGUUAUGGCUUGAGAAGGAACAAACAAACACUGAGGGGCUGACUGAAGGAGGCUUCAACAGAGAAUAAAAAAAAAACAGGGGAGAAUGGAAAAGGGAACGAACCAGGCGACUGAGAGAAAAAUGAAAGAAUUCGGGGAGGAGAGAAAAGCAGAGAACCAAGGGAGAUGCAGAGAACAAAAGCAAGCCUAAAAUAGUGAGAAGGGCGACCAGACAAGAAGAGACAGAAGGGGAGAAUAGCCUCGGCCCGCCAGGACACUUCGUCUCCUUUGCAACCAGGUAAGUUCCUUCAUUUCCUUCUCCUUUGCAAUUAUAAUUACAUAGGUACUGUACAUAUACAAAUUUAAUUCACUACUUACUGUUCAACCGACAUGUAAAUUCACUGGUUUGUAGUGACCAGGAUAGAACUAGCCCCAAAAAAUUAAAAAAAAAAUAAAAAAAAUGUGUGUAUGCAUAAAUAAAUAAAAUAUUGAUUUAAAUUUAUUUUUAUUUUAUUGUAUUUUAUUUUAUUUAGAUACAUAAAAAAUAUGUGUAUGUGUAUGCGUAAAAGUAAAUUUAUUUUAUUGGUUUAUUCAGCAUAGUUAGGAAUAUAAAAAAAUAUUUAUUUAAAUUUAUUUUGUUUUUAUAACUAUGUAAUAUUUACCAAUGUCAAGUUUGAAGUAUCUAUAGUUGAAUAUUCACUAGCAUCAAAGUCAGAAAUAUUACACACAAACCAUAAUAGCACAAACCAACAAAAUAUUAGCAAUUUAUGAUGAAAUUAGAAAUGUAGCCUGCCUCAGGCAGGACGCUUAAGGGUAAUAAUAUCUUUUCUUUUGCGUAACUAGUCUCGUACCAUAGAAUCUCUGUUGAUCAGUUAGGGUUCCUAGUAACCAUAAUACUAGGUGGUGACUCCUUAAACAAAAUCAUUCCCCAUAAAAAAAUAGGAUGCCAGAAAUCUAUUAUUUUUCAUGAAAAUUUUUAAGAUCACCGCGAUGUCCAGAUACGACAUUGCUAAUCAUAAAUUAAGUCAAUCUACAAUGCCAACUUUGUCUUAUGUUGUUGUAUUAUUGGCAAAAAUCAUAUUUGAAUGGUUUGCAAUUUAACCUAAUAACAAUCUAUCUUGAAGAACCAAAGUUAUAUACAAUGAUUAUUCACAGUUUAUGUCUAUAAAGAGAUACGAACGAGUAGUAUAAAAUUAUAACGAACUUGAUUAAUCAUUCGAAGAAUUUAAACGUGCCAUCAAGAACUUAGUAUGAGAAUUACUCAACCACUUAAAAGAUAGCAAGAAUGUUGAUUUUUUUAUAUUAAAAAUAUUCUUUCUCCCCUUAAAAAAAAAGUCUUUACAAAAGAGUUUAUAUAUUAUAAAGAAUUAUAAGUUUAAUAGGAUAUUCCUAAUGAAUAUAGAUAAAUCUAAUAAAUAUUAAUAAUAAUUCAAUGAAUCUAAAUUUAAAUAAAAGAACCUAAUAUAUCUAAAAGACAUAAUAUUAACUAAAAUAAACCUGGAGUGUUUGCAUCCCCUUACAGUUUUCUAGAUUCAAUUCUUUAAUUGUAGGGUAAUUCAAUGUCAAAUUCCAGGGAGGCUCUAACAUGAACCCUUUCAAUUUCAAAACUGUAAUACUUUGGCUGGAUAAUACUUUCUUUGGCAAAUUAUAAUGUGCCUUGAAUUUGAAUUUCUCUUUUCGAAAAAUAUUUAGCUCUAAUCCCUCCACCUUAUUCUGUUUUGCAUAAAAUUCGGAUUUUUCUUUUCCAACAAUAUCAAGCUCCAACUCGUUCACCUUAUUUUCUAUUGCAUAACUAAUUACACUAUUAAUACCAUUAUUUGUAUCCUCACAAAUAACCUCUAAACUAAAAGAAAACAACAUAAGGUUUUAUUAUGGAUCAACGUCAACUAGUUUAACUUUCUCGGGACAAUUUCAAUUGUUAAUUUUGUUCUGGUUGACAUUUUAUUUUGUCAAUUAAAACAGUAUAUUUUGGUUUCAGUGUACUAUUUUGACGUAUAUAUCCAUUGAUAUAAUGAAAAAAUGGGCUUAGAAACAUUUUAAUAUUUACCAUAUUCUCAUGUUCAAUGCAUGUGUUUCAAGAAGUGAUAUUAAGCUUUAAGAUUAGGCAUUGAUACCGAAUCACUUCUUAAGAAAACCCAUGAUGAAUUUAGAAAAAUAAUUAGAAAGGCCCAAUAGGUAUAUUGUCAUGAAAUUUAAAAUAUAGAAAUGACUUAUCUUAGAUAAAAUGAUUUAGGGUGAUGUGUUUUUUUUUUUUUAAUAUAAUCAUCAUCUUAUCUAAAUUAGAUGGUAACUUCUUAUCUAUUCUUACAAUUCUAAUUUUUACCACAAUGUUAGGUGCAAAAAAACAAUGACUUCAUUGGGGAUGAUUUUGACCAUUACCGCUAAGCUUCAUGUAUUUAAUUUUAUGAUGAAUGUAUCUUUCCUAAUUAAUUUUGUUUACUUUAUUUUUGCCUGGUUUUGUUUUUUUUAUUCUUUUAUAUUUCCUUAUUCUUUUAUGCAUGUUUUUUUUUAAUUAGAUAUGGACUUAUAUAUGUACACACACUACAUAAACUUUUAUUUGCACACACAUUGCUUAACGCUAGGAUUGAGGAAUUAGCAAUGUCUCGAUAGUUAUUGACUUGAACAACAAUUGUAAAACCACUAAAUUCUCAUGAAAAGUCUACUUUGUGGAGACAAAUGAGUCAAUAGAGCUUUGCCUUGAUCCAUUAUUUUCUACAAUGUAGGCCUUGGUUCAGCCUAUUAAAGCCCAUUAAUUGAACAGCGGGAUCCUUCUGAAACCAAUUAGAUAUUAAAUUUAUAUUCAUGUAAUGACUAGAAUCUUUUAAUAGAUUGUCUUCUUGUAUUAUCACAAUGAGAAGUCUUAUAAAGAUAAACUUUCAUGAGAAAAUGGAUGACAAGAUAGUAACAAUUCACAAAUAUACCACACAAAAAUUCUAACAUGAGUCUGAAACCUUGCAGCAAAUUAAGGGGACUUUUUUAAUAAAUAAAAACUUGAUACCGAGCUCCCGGACUUGAAAAAUAUAACUUGUCUUGCCAAUAGAACUCACAUACUCAAAUAUUGGAAGAAGUUGAGUAAUUAAGAACUACAUAUUUUAAAUGAGAGGUAUGAGAAUUUGAUUGCAAUGUUGAAUAUAUUUUUGCAAAAAUAGCUAUAAAGGUGCUCGUACAUUUUAGGACCCCUUUUUAUAGAUUUUUUUUUGUUUUUUGUUUUGUUUUGUGGAGAAAUGGACAUCAUACAUACCAACUAUUGAAGAAUAUGGCAUGCCCAAAUCUACACGCGCGCGCGCAUAUAUAUAUAUAAAUUUAUUUUCACAAUUGGUAAGAUGGGAAUAUUGCAUGACAUCUUGUAAAAGCUUAUAAAUGCUAGAAACAUGACAAGCAAAGUGAGAUACUGCAGGUGUUAAGGGCUGGCCUUGAAAAACCUGGGAAAAUAUGCUUAACCAGAAAAAAAAGACCCAAGUAGUUGUUUUAACAGAAUCAGGAUAUUGGCUCUGGUAUCUUUGGGCUAAUAUUAUUUCUCUUUGUUGGUGGUCUGAUUAGUUUAGAGGCGGCAAAUGUGCUUCUAGAAAUGGAAAGAAAUUAGGUCAAUUCAAUAGUCACGGUGAUAAUAGAAACUAUUUUUUCACUUAAUCACUGUCGAAGAACGAAUAAAGGUGAGAUGUUGUGUUCACUUGCUAUACAUGUAGAUAGUCAACCAUAUGAUAACUGGCAAAACAGUUUUAUGGUAAGUUUGGUGGGUUGAUCAAAAGCCAUUAAAGGAGUUUGUGGAAAAAAAUAGCAACCUAUAAUGAGGAAAAAUUUAUGAUUAGUUGUUUUAUAAGUUACCAACAGUAGUUGGACAACAAUUUUGAUGGGAAUUAAACCGUCCAUGGGUCCUCUAAUAGGUAUCGCUGGUUAUAUUAAUUAGUACUUAUGCACCCUCCAUGAUGGCGAGACAAUUUAAGUAUAUGCAAUGUAUCCCAAUAACAAUGAUGUGAAUAGCUUAAUGCAUGUCCUUGAACCAAAUCAGUUUCUUAUAAAUCUCAUUUCCUUAAAUACACAAAAAAAAAAAAAAACUAUUUUGGUCGUUGAGCUCCCAUUGUUGCUCCUAAUGGUUAUGAAGAUUGUGUUCUCCCAUGAAUUCUCCACUUUCUAUGGUAAAGUGUAAGAGUUAGGCUUAAAGCCACGACUUGAGGUAUACUUGUAUGGUAACACGAUAACAAUGACUUGAAUAGCUGAACGCGUACUGUUGGACCAAAUUAGUUUCUUACGAAUCUCAUUUCCUCAUUAAGUAUUGAGAAUCCAAAAAAGAAAAAACUAAUUUGAUCCAAUGUUAUGUGUUGGGUUGUCCAAGUUAUUGUUAAGAUAAGAUCAUGCAAUUAAAUCUCAUGCUGAAUGGAAGUUGUUAAAUGUUAACAAGAGACUCAUAACAGUUGAAUUUCAUAUGUGAGUAAGGAGUUUUAUAGCAAAUUUUGAUAUGAUUAUAUAAAUGAUGAAUUUAUAUUUCAAUAGCCUGGAUUUAUGAUUUAAAGAAAGCAUCCAUCAACGUGUAUAAAUCCUUACGUGCAUCUCAUGUGAAGACAAAGGUGAUCUCAAGUGCAGAUUCUCCCUAAUACAUAUAUACGACGUACAGCUUUUAAAGACAAUCAGACCAGAGAUGAGUUUUGUUGGUUGUAAUAUUGGAUUUUGGAACCGAACUAUGUAGAGAUGGCCAAAGACUGGCUUCCUGAGAAGUUUGAAACGGAAAUGGGGCUGAUAAAGUUCUUGAUGAAGAAUAUACCUAUUUCUUGGAGGACAUAAUCAUGUACAUCAACACUAGGGAGAAUUUUGAAGAGAAAAAAAAGAAUAAAUAUUUAUUUUCGAAAACAUGUUCAAGUGCCCUUCUGCCGCACAGAAUUCUGAUCCUGACGCCAGAAUCGUUUCUGUUUAUGAAUUAGUUUUGCUUUUUUUUUUUUGGUUGCAAAGUUUUCGAUGAAAAUGAAAUACAUGAUUUCUGAUUGUAUAUAUGGUUUCCGUAUAUUUAGACAAAUAUCAGAAGGCUAAUUAUUUUGUGAUACUAAUUUCUUUAUUUUCAUCUUUUUUUGUAAUUAGGUUUUGUGUUUUCGAUUCAUAAAUGUUUUUCUACAACUUCGAUGUGCUUGUAUUACCAUGCAUGGUUUUUUAAGAAAAACAGCGAAAACUAAAAUAAAAAUAUAUAUUAACUUGUAAAUUUUCAUUACAUAUAUUCUUGUUAGGACUCACAAAAUUAAAUAGAUUCAAUUAGAGGAAAUUCGAGCAUAUAAUUUAUAUUGUUUUUUUUAACUAAUUACUGGUAUACAAUCAAACACUAAUUCGAAUUAAAAUAAAAUAAAAUCAGUGACAUUACUUCUUCAUGAGAGAAUGAAAAGAACAGGAUCCGAUGGAAUCGCUAUGUAUCAUGUGAAGUUUACAAUUUCCACCACCGGUUCCAACGGUCAAGUGACAUGAGUUAAUCAUACUCUUUUAAGCAUAUUAAUUGUAAACUUGCUUUGCACUUCUAUAUUAGUAAUUAUUUAUUUUUGUAAUAUUUAUUAAUACCAGGCUGCAAAGUCAAUGCUCAGAGAGGAGAAUGAUUAACUACGUGCACGCCCUUGCAUUAUGAAUUUGUCUAUGACGACGUCCUCUUUAACAUGAUAGAGUGUAAUUUUCUUUGAUAAUUAAUUAAUUAAUUAUCUUUGGUCUUUCCUUCAAGAUCUAACAUCCCAUUUGCAAAAUAAUUAUAUGAAAAGAAAGUCGGUCCAAUAUUAAACUAUAUAAUAAGUUACAAGUCCAAUCAUUCCCAUUAUUUUAUCAAAUUACAUGUUCUAUUUAUAGAGAGCAUAUAGCACCUUGUUUGACAUAUUCAUACUAUCAUACACUUCAACUCAAUCGUUCUUCUCCACAAUCAAAUUCAGGCUUCAGCAACAGAAGUUAUAAUGGCGGUAAGCAUGUAUACAUAUAGUGGAUGAAAUUAACCGUAGGUUAAUUAAUAAGAGUCUUCUAUUAAUUACUAUUUUCUCGUAUCAUAUUACAACUGAAAGGAAAGAAUGGCACAGUUGUAUUGAAAAUUUUUGUUGUAAUUUACUCAGUCGAUCAUAGAAAUGAGAGUGCAUAUGGAUUGUGUUGGAUGUGAGAGCAAGGUGAAAAAUGCUCUGGAAAAAGUCAAAGGUAAGAAAUCACCUCCAAUAAAAACUUUAUGCAUGCGACAAUUUUCAUCUUAAUCAUCCCUUUUUUUUUCAUAAAUUAUUUUCAUUGUUCCUCUCUUUUUAAGGUUUUCUUUGGCCAUAUUUUCUUGGACUAUAUCUUAAACUUUUGUAUUUGAACUUAUACACACACAGGCAUAGAUGACAUAGAUAUAGAUAUGGGGUUGCAAAAGGUGACGGUCACAGGAUGGGCUGACCAAAAGAAGGUUCUAAAGACAGUUCGUAAGACAGGAAGAAGGGUUGAGCUCUGGCAAUUACCUUACAAUCCACAUCAUCAUAGCUAUUCUGACCAUUACUAUAACCAACACCAAGUUAACGGUCCACUUACUAUCAUAUAUCUUCGAAAAUAUGAUAGCAACGAUCAUGGUUAUUAUCAUCAUCCAGUGCAUUCCUCCAUCUUUAACCACCAGACAGGAGCAGUUUUCAGCGAUGAAAACCCUCAUGGUUGUUCUAUAAUGUGAACAACAUAGUAUAUAUUAUUCUUACUAUAUAUAUACUUAUACUGGUUUGUUUUACAUGUACUGAUUUCCUUUUCACUUUAUGUUUUGUUAAACCUUGUUCACAUGAAGCUAUAAAAUAUAGACAAGAAAUGCCUUUAAUUUUUUUCCUUAUCAUUUUGCAACUUAUAAAUUGUUUUGUUCUGAUUUGUGCCCGAGGCAAGGUAUUGUCUGCUGAGAAAAUCGAGCUCCAUUGAUCUUUUCUUUUUACUAAACUAAAUCACCACCGAUUGCAAUUAAAAUUUUGAUCAACAUUAUAUCAUUCGGAUAGGAUGAGGAUGCACUCCUCCACACACUCAAAUAAAUAUUUUCCAUGGAAGAGAUGCCUUGGAAUGUUUUAGAAAGGGGAUAAUAUUCUCAUGUGCGCCCCUAACUUAUUCGCUAUUACCCUUUCUGAGUUGUGUCCCUAAACUACAUAAUUAAGCAAUUUGGUCCAGAAUAUAUCUAAGAAUUAUCAAUCUAAUCCUUUCAUCCUCAAAUAUACUUUGUUGUCAUCUUUAGUUGUGGACUCAGAUGAGAAAUUAAGUUCUUAAGCAAAUUUUUUAUUGACAAAUCCAAUUGAUAAUUCUUGUGGUCAGUUCGUUGAAAGUUAUAACUAGAUUGGGGAUCAAAUUUGCAAAAUAAUUAGAGACAAAGGACUGAUAUUAUGUUACCCAAGAACCCCAUAAAAAUUAGGGAUGAAAACGUCACCACUCAACAGAUAUGAUACCAGGAAUCCUCUCAUCUAAUUGAGAUGGGUUUUAACUAGGAUUCAGCCUAGUGUGGAACUUAACUCCCUUUUAUUUUUUAGUAUACAAAUGAGUGUAUGUUCGUCCAAUUAAUACCCAACUUUUUUUUUUUAUUUCCUAAAUAUUCUAAGAAUUUUUGUGACUUUAUAGUUUUUAAUUUUUUAUUUCCUUAAUAUUGUGGAAAAAAAUUAUUUCAUUUAUCAUUUAAUCUUUGUAAAGGGAUGGUGAUAGGUAUUUACGGGCUAGGUUUUGGUAUUAUCUAUAUUUGAAUUCAAACCCGGUUUUGGUAUUAUCUACAUUUGAAUUCAAACCCAAAAUAUUAUCAAGUCAAAACUUGACGGGUGUAAAUUUUGAAUACCAAAAUCUAAUUCAUUCAGAUUUUAGUUAUCAAUUCAGAUAAUCAUUACCUAAUUGAUAUAGUAAGGUUUGUGAAAACUUGAAGUUUUGAUCAUGUAUAUAAGAAUCUAUCACAAGCAGACUAUUUGGAUAAUUUAACAUAUAUUUUUAUAAACGGGUACUGAGAUAGCACUAGGUUUAAGAAGAUGCAUGGCUAUGCUAUACUACAGUACGUAGUGGCUUUAAAUGGAAAUAAUAAGAGAUUUGACGGUUGGUUGAGAUUAAAUUUUUUUAAAAGAUUCUACAAGUUUUUUUUUUUUUUGGAAAGCCACUAUGUCAGGACUAUUAGAUCUUCAAAAAUUAGUCCUAAAAGUUUCUGCUUAGACUAAUUUUGUUGUUUUUUUCUAGAUUGUUUUUGGAUUUAUUAUUUUAUUUAAGAUUUUAUGUUAGUUUUCUUUAUGAUUUUGAAUUCUAAAUUCUUUUUAUAGAGAUAGGAUUUUCUAUUUAUUUAAACAUUUUGUAAACAUUUUAAGGAGAAACUUAAUAUAUACUUAAUUUUUAAAGAAUAAAAACGUGAAUUUAAAAUUCAAAUCUACAAUUCAUUUUCUUAUCAAAUUCUUGAAGUGGUGGGGGUAAAGACUGCCUCAUAUUAUACAGUGUUGUUAUCCAUUUUUAAGUUCCCACAAAAAAAAAAAAAAAUACAAAAAAACUAUAUAUAUCAAAAAAAAAAUAUUCAAAAGAAAUUAAAAAAUAAUAAUAAUAGGAGCGAGAAAAUGAUGUUGGAAUGCUGAAAAAUAGCCAAAAAUUGAUUGAGAAAGUUUAAAAAUGCAAAGGGUUGGAAUUUGACAGUUUAUCGUUAGUUGAUGAGAGUCUUGUUGAUAAAGAAAAUUCAAUUUUAAAAAAAAUAUAUUCAAAAUCAAAUGUUUAUGUACUCAAUUAAAUUUUAUCUAAUGUUUAAUUGAAUAUAUGGAGGGUUUGAUUGCAAGAAAAAUUGAUUUUGAAGUCAAUUUAGACUUUUAUUGGAAGAAAUUAAAGUUCUGAGGUCUAAUUAUAAUUUUGAAGAGUUGAUUUGGCCAAAUCAGGGGCUUAAUUGCAUAAUUAUUAAAGUUUGAUGGCCAAUUAAAAAUUUAAUUGAAACAAUCGAAAACCAAGAAUCAAACCAGAAAAGGCGCUAUAUAAAAUCAAGAGAUCCAAUUACAACUCAUCCGAGGGACUUGGUUACAAAAUUGUCAGAACAGCCGAGGACCCAAUCGAAAAUAUUCAUUUUGAAAAUUUGAAACGGCGUUUUUUCCUUAAAGAGCAUUAUUCACUGUCUCCUUCAAAGAAACCAGUUUUUAGCAGUAAAAUAGGGAUAUGUUUUGCAGCAAAUUGCUCCAAUUAGGGGCACAUUUUAUGGCUCCUAUCCCGCAGUCUCCAGAUUACAAGGCAACCAUUACCACCGCAGGGCUUUCCCUGGCUUAUAAAAGCCAAAGAAAGACAGUGAAGAAGAGGGGGGGCAACGAGACAACGAGAGGAGAAAAAGAAGGAGACAAAGGGAGAGUACAGUGAAGAGAGGAAAGAAAACCGAGAGAGGGAGACGAACGAAAAAAAAAAGGGCAGAAAGAAAAAAGAAGAGAGCCGCACCAGCACUGCCAACGCCAUUUUCAGCUCAUCAUCUUCUUCGUCCAGCAGCCACUGCCAUUCUCCAUCAGAGCCGCACCAGCACUGCACAACAGAAAGGAGAAAGAAGAAGAGUAAGGGAGAGCAGGGACAGAAAGAAAACGGGAAAAUAAAGGAGGAGAACCAGACGAGACAGAGAGGCAAAGCGUGAGGAAGAAAACAGAGGAGAAGGUGGGAGAAACAGAGGGGCAGAAAUAAAAAACUAGGAGGCAGAGUGAAGAAAGGAAGGAGAGGAAGCAGUGUUGGAACAGCCCUUCACACUGUUUCUUCGUCUGCAACUAGUGCAAAGGAGAGGGACUGUUGAACCUUUUUCAAAACUGCAGUAUCCGUGAUCAAGCUCAGAGAAACUGGAAAAAAACACGAAUACCAGUAGCAAGGAAAAACAAAAGAAGAUGACGAACCAGAGGAACCGGAGGAAAAGCAAAUGAAAAGGGGAAAAUAUAGGCCAAAACAAAGCUCAUGCAUUUUGGCUUUAAUAACCAGUUUAUUAAAUUCACGAGAACUAGAUCAAUAUUUUAAAAAAUUCCAAAAAAAUUAUUUUGUUUUCUUUUAAUAUCUAGAGUUACAACCUUAUAUGUAAGACGUAUUCAAUAUAUUAAAUUCUUUUGAUAACGUCAGAACAAUUAGGUUUUACCCGACAAGAUAAGAAUCUUCUUACCGAUGGGAACUUUUCUUAAACCAUAGACGAACCAACAACUAGAAAACACGACAAGACCUUAGAUUUUAUUAGACAAUAAAAAAAUGCAGCUUACCUUAGAUAAGGUGUAUUUAGGGUGCUAAUACCUUCCAUUUACGUAACCAGUCUCCGUACUCGAUCUCUGAGACCAGUUAGGGUUCCUAAUGACCAAAAUACUAGGUGACGACUCUCAUUCUAUUUUUCCACACAUUUUUAGAUAAUACUAAGAUUUUAAGGGUGUAUAUUUUCACCGCGAUGCUGCACACAUGCGACAUACAGCAUAAAUGGAUUAAAAAGGGACUCAGAUAAGUGUUUUUUUUUUUUAAUUAAAAUUGGUGUCUUUUUCGGUUUCACUUGCAAACGGAACACCUAUCUCCAAAACCCAUGUUUGCAAACAUGUAUGCUAAGCGUCAAAAGAUGAAAUCUAUGUGCGAUAGGAUUAGCAAUUUACCUGAUGCACUCCUCCUUCACACACUCUUUUCUGAGAUGCCAAGGAGUUUUGAUUGGAUACAUUGUUCACUCUUUAUUUCAAAUCAAUUCAAUUUUUCUAAUUUCUAUUUUAGUUUUCUUUAUUUUUUAUCCAAUAAACUUUAUUUCUAUUAGAAAAGAUUUGUUUUUCAAAUUAAAAAAAUUAACAUUAAAAGAAAAUUUUAACUAAAAAUAUGUUUUUUUUCCCGAGAAUUCAAAUAACUAUCUUUAUUAAUGAAUAUUUAUUUUUAUUUUCAUAUAAUUAAAUAAAAAACAAAAAGCAACCAUGUUAUUAGAUUAAAUAUUUACAUUUACAUUUGCAUUUAUGUUUUUUAUUUUUUACAAAAAAAAAACCCAACUGUUUUAGCCUUUAAAUAGAUUAACCAUUUGAUUUAUUAAUUCAAAUAUUUUUAAUUCGUUUUUUUUAAAAUACAAACACAAUCAUUUCAAUUUUGAAUUUAAAAAUUUUAUGCUAUCAAAACUCAACUCCACAGAUUCAUAGCUUCUUGUUUUUUUUGUUUUACAUUACAACUUAGCUUGGAAUGUUACCCGUAACUAGUUGGUAUCUAAUGUCUUUAACUAUUUCCCCAUGAAUUUGUAUCUCAAGAGCAGUCUGGUUUGUCAUGUACAUGCACUUCAUGGAAAAUGCUAGCUAGCUGGCACAGGAGCCAAAGAAGAACGAAACUUGGCAUAUUCCACUUUUCAGAAUAAGCUGUGCGCUUAAGGAGUUUGAAAUGCGGUAGCGGUUGCUUUUCAAAUAGUUUUUUGUACUGAAAAGUAUGUCAAUAAUUUUUUUUAUUUUUUAAAAAUUAAUUUUGAUAUCAGCACAUAAAACGAUCCAAAAAAUACAAACCGCACUCAAUUUUAGUAAAAAAACAAAAUUUAAAAUUUUCCAAAAAAUAGAUUCAACCGCAGUGCCAAACAGACAUUAAGAGUUGUUUUUUAAAAUAUUUUUUAUUUAAAAAUAUAUUAAAAUAAUUUAUUUUUAAUAUAUAUGAUUUAAAAUCAUAAAAAAUAUUAGAAAAAUUCAAUAACACUUUUUAAAUAUAAAAACAAAAACACUUCAGAAGUACAAUCUUGAUUAAUAAACAAACCAUCAAAGCAAAUCAUGGUCAACAACAUUGCAACCCCAAAUAAUUUUAUAGUGGCUUCCUCACUUAUCUGGUCGUCCUCAGCAUCUUUAUUGCUGCUGUUACUCCGCUCUCUGAAUCAGUAGGUAGAGCUCUGGCACGGUCAAUGAGGACCUUUACCACAGUGGAAUGACCAUAUGCUGCUGGCAAAUGGAGUGGGAUUUCACCUUUCUUAUUGGCUUGGAAUAACAGUGGUGGACACAUUUUAAGAAUUAUAUCAACAAAAUUAUAUCCUGCCGUACAGUUAGUUCAAUGGCAAGCUGGCGUUGUGUUAUUUGGGCAUGGGAUUAAUUUGCUUACAUUUUGAACUUCCAUGCAGACUGCAGGAUCUGUCCCUUGGUGGUGGUUAUGUUUACCCUACUAACAACAUUGUAGUAAUCAAUAUUUAAAAAUAGUGCUUUCUGAAUUUCCAUAUCUCAAUUUUAUUAUAUUACCUGUAGAAUAAAAGAAAAUACAAAAAACAUUCAUUAAAAUGACGUUUUAACCACAAAAACAAUCACUGUCAUAAAAAAGCCAAUUUAGAGAAUCAGGAUUAAACAACUGCAUGUGGGUUAAUUAUGAUUGAGGUGUUCUUCGAAACCAAAAGUUAACAAAUUGGCCCUCCUUCUUUUUCUUUUUCAUUUCUUUUCCUAUUCUCCCUCUUUUUUCUUUUUCUUUUUCUUUUUUAUUUCAUCUCUUUCUCUUCAGUUUUUCUUUUUCUUUAUACUCAUCCACACACGUUUUCUCUUUAACACAGGAACAAAAAAAUGAAAAGGCAAAAAAGUGUGAUCGUAUUAAAACACCAUUUGCUAUACACUUGUACUAGAAUAGUUUUCUUUUUAUUUCUUUAUGUACUCGUCUUACUGUAUUUGAACUUCUUUUUGUACUCGUCUUCCUGUGUUUGAACUUAUCAAAUAAUUAUUUCAAUUCAAAAUUUUUUUAUUUUUUUUAGCAUAUAUUAUAACUUAUUAAACAAUGAUUUCAAUUUAAAUUAAUUUAAGGGACGAAACCUUAAAAAUAGUAAUACAGUGUAUAUAAUUAUUUAAUUUUAAUUAAAAAAAAGUGUCAAUAGUAAGAUUGAAAUUCGUAACUCUUGACAACUCAAAUUUAUGCUUGAACUGUAUGCCAUUAGCUUUCUGCAUCCUCUAGCCUUGAUGAUAUAUCUGAUGUUCAUUCCAACCCAACCCGAAGUCAGACCAGCACCAAGCAGAUACACCAUAGAUAAUAUAUCUGAAUUAGAGAUUUUCAUAGCAAUGCCACAAACUCUUCUGCUCUACGGACUCCUUGUAUAGCAAGAACAUCUGCACGGUGACUAAUCUCCCUUGGUGUACGUACGAGUGAAGGAUACUGGACCCAAGCAAGAUGAAAAUCUACCUGCUAGAAUGAAAAGAUCAUUAAAGCGCCACGACCUGAUAAAAUACCUUAGUCCUGCCUAUACGAUGAUAAUUCCAUAGCUUUAAUUGCUGCAAUCAAUUCAGCCUCGUUUGAUUCUUUAUUUCCCACUGGAAUAGAGAAAACCCCUAGAACCACCCCACAUUGAUUCCAAUGAACAUGUUCGAUCCCCGGGGGGCCAUCGAACAACUGAACUAAUUUUCUUAAUAUUUGACCCUUUUUUUCAAACCAUCACCAGAUAAAAGUAGAUCAAGAGCACAAUAUGGGAAGUCAGAAUCUAAAGCUUUAAUCCAUACACGAAAUCUAGUUAAAAUAAGGAGGAAUAUGGUGUCACAAUCUGAAUUUUAUUCUGAAGACCAAUUCAUUCCUAGUGAUCCAUAGCUGAUGGUAAAUAAAAGCAUAAACCAUACCUUCCUUUGGAAUUUUCCUUCAACAAGGACUUCCCAUUGCUGAAAAAGGUCAGGAAAAUUUAUUGGGCAACAUCAAGAGAGGCCCCACCAUUCACAUGAUUUUGUCCAGAUUUUCCAGUGAUUUUGACAGUGGAUGAGAAGAUGCUCCACAGAUGCUUCACUACACCAUUAAACAAUUUCCAAGGAAGGAACUGCGAGUUGAAUAAAUUAAUCUCCCUGGUCUUUCCUUGAAGAUCCAUCAUCCCAUUUGCAAAAUAAUUAUAUGAAAAGAAAGUCGGUCCAAUAUUAAAUUAUAUAACAAGUUACAAGUCCAAUCAUUCCCAUUAUUUUAUCAAAUUACAUGUUCUAUUUAUAGAGAGCAUAUAGCACCUUGUUUGACAUAUUCAUGCUAUCAUACACUUCAACUCAAUCGUUCUUCUCCACAAUCAAAUUCAGGCUUCAGCAGCAAAAGUUACAAUGGCGGUAAGCGUGUAUACAUUUAGUGGAUGAAAUUAACCGUAGGUUAAAUAUUAAGGGUCUUCUAUUAAUUAAUAUUUUCUCGUAUCAUAUUUUACCCAGUCGAUCAUAGAAAUGAGAGUGCAUAUGGAUUGUGCUGGAUGCGAGAGCAAGGUGAAAAAUGCUCUGGAAAAAGUCAAAGGUAAGAAACCACCUCCACUAAAAACUUUAUGCAAGCGACAAUUUUCAUCAUAAUCAUCCCUUUUUUUUCAUGAAUUAUUUUUUAUGUUCCUCUCUUUUUAAGGUUUUCUUUGGACAUAUUUUCUUGGACUAUAUCUUAAACUUUUGUAUUUAUAUAUAUACACACACAGGUGUAGAUGACGGAUAUAGAUAUGGGGUUGCAAAAGGUGACGGUCACAGGAUGGGCUGACCAAAAGAAGGUUCUAAAGACAGUUCAUAAGACAGGAAGAAGAGCUGAGCUCUGGCAAUUACCUUACAAUCCACAUCAUCAUAGCUAUUCUGACCAUUAUUACAACCAACACUAAGUUAACGGUCCACUUACUUACCAUGCUCCUCAGCCUUCCUCUUCUUACAAUUACUACAAGCAUGGAUACGAUAGCAACGAUCAUGGUUAUUAUCAUCAUCCUGUGCAUUCCUCCAUCUUUAACCACCAGGCAGGAGUAGUUUUUAGUGAUGAAAACCCUCAUGGUUGUUCUAUAAUGCGAACAACGUAGUAUAUAUUAUUCUUACUAUAUAUGUACUUAUAUUGCUUUGUUUUUCAUGCACUAAUUUCCUUUCCACUUUAUGUUUUGUUAAACCUUGUUCUCGUGAAGCUAUAAAAUAUAGAUAAGAAAUGCCUUUAUGUUCCUUAUCAUUUCUAUUAAAGGUUAUAAAAACAGAGGCCGGGGCCUCUGCACAGGGAAGAUGAAGAAAAUUGCAGCAAUCGCCGCCUAUCGUCGUCCUGCCUCUAGUGCCACCGCCUCCGCCUCUGCUAUAGAAUAAAAGGAGAAGAACAAGAUAAAAUAGAGACAAAGAGGAGACUGAAAGAAAAACAAAAGAAAACAGAAGAAAAUAAAGGAGAAGAACAGAAGGAAAAUACGCAGAGAAGAAGAAGAACCGAUCACCGACCAAGCAACUGGUCACUAUAUAAAAAGCUUUUCCUGUAGCCAUUGAUUAACUUUUAGCGUCAAAUACAUGCAUGGACAAAAGAUCUGAAAUUAUUUGAACAGAAAAGCUGGAAUUUAUACAGUGACAGUGAUAGAAAAGCAAGCAAUUAUGUACAAUUAUCCUAUAUGCAGUCAGUGUAUCUAAUUCCGACUUGCUUUUUUUUAUUUUAUUUUUAUCCUUAAUCAAUUAUUCAUUUUAACAUUAUUCUUUUUCUUAAUUUCAUUCUCUUCACAUAAUUUUAACAUGACAAUUAAAAAAACCGAUUGUAUUAGUAACUUAACACACCUAGUAGCUGUAUAGCGUCUGUUCAUAAGUGUCAAUAACAAUAAUGAUUACAUACAACUAUCAUUCCUAUUAAUGGUUAUAAAAUAUCAAAUCAAAGUGUUUUAUUUUUUAAAUAUUUUUAUCUUUUCUAGCUAUAUUUUAAAAAAAUUUACGACAAUAAAAAAAAUGACUCUUGAAUGCCACAUGGUAUGGUCCCAGAAUUGGACGGUGCAAAGAUUUCUUGGUCCCACAAAUAUUUCUGAUCGAUUAACUUUACUAGUGAUUUAGCAUUUGCUUGGCUGCUUUUGAAAUUUUUUCCCCUGACUUUAGCAAAUAAUUUCUGGACUGAUUUGAUUUUUUAUCUUGUUGCCCAGGUUUAACGUGUCAUCCGCGGAAAAGAAGACUCUUGGGUAGAAUUCGAUUUUUUAAAAAAAGUAAAAUUCUUUUUAUAUUUUUAUAAAAAAUUAUUAUAUUAAUAUAUAUAAAAAAAAACAUUUUAAAUGCCCCCGCAAUACUUACUGUCCCGUGCCCUCUGCAGUAUUGUCCUUGGAGCCCAAGUUUAAACCAAGAAUCAAUCCUGUCUCAGUUUGUUUGAGGGGGGGGUCUAUACUUUUAAGUGGUAGUAUAAAUCAUGGUUUCCACACUUGAUCGAGUAAAGCAGAUUGAUAUAGAGUUAAUCGGAUUUUAAUUCUAAAUUAAAUUAGUCAAGGAGUUGAACGUUUAACUUUUUUAAAAAUUAUUUAAACCAAGAAUCAAAUCUUGAUAGCUUCUCUGUUUUAAAUAAAAAUGCUUUGUCAACACACCAUAUUAACACAUUUGAUAGAAAUUGAUUUUAGUAUUAUAUAUUUAUAUCUGUAUAUAUUGUUUAAACCAAGAAAAAAUAUUUAAAUUACGGCGACUUGGGAUACGUAAAGGAAUGUUUUACUAUCCUGUUGCACCAAAAAUUAUUUUUAAAUUAAUUUUUUAAAGUGUUGAUAACUAGACGUAGUAGUGUCUAGAGUUAAAAUUCUACUUUUCACUAUUUAAAAGGCCUUUUGGUUCGGCCACUAGCUAGCACUCGGCCAGCAGCCAUGCAGCGCCUCGUCAACAUCCCAGGAAGACAACAAGCGUGCCUGCCCUGCACUCACUUUCGGGCCUAAAGGCCCAGGGAUUUUUUUUAAUCAAAAUCUUUAAACAUUUAGAUAAUUCAUAUAAUAUUAAAAAGGAACGUAUUGCAAUUAUAAUAAAUUUUUUUACUAUCUUUUUUUUUUUCAAAUUAAGCAUUUGAUCAUACCUAAAUUUUUUGAGUUUGACCAUACUAAAAUACUUUAGGUUUAGGUUUAGCAUGAUUACUAGAUCCAAGUCUCUUGAAUCUGACAUGAUUGUCAGAUCCAAUAUCUAUAAAAAAUUAAAAAUAACUAUUUAGAAUUUUUGUUUAAGAUACUUCAAGAAUAUUUUAAAUUUUUUUAAUAAAAAAAAUACAUUAGAAUUUCUAUUUAAAAUACUUUAAGGAUAAUUUAAAUAUUUUUUAUAUUGUUUUUAAAUACAUCUGAAUUUUAUUUGAUAGAAAAGUAAGAAAUUCUAAAAUAUAUAUGAUUUUGAUAAUUUUUAAUUUAAAAUAACAAUACUUCUUAAAAAAAAAACAUGUUUUCGUAAUUUAAAAAAAAAGAAACACAUUAAUAAAAAAAAAAUGGAGUUUUGAUUAGAUACAUUGUUCACUCUUUAUUUUAAAUCAAUACAAUAUUUCUAAUUUCUAUUGUAGUUUUCUUUAUUUUGUUAUUCAAUAAACUUUAUUGCUAUUAGAAAAGAUAUGUUUUUCAAAUUAAAAAAAUAUAUUAUGAAAAGAGAAUUUUAACAAAAAAUAUAUUUUUCCAGAGAAUUCAAAUAACUAUUUUUAUUAAAAAUAUUCAUUUUUAUUUUUAUACAAUUAAAUAAACAAAUAAAAAGCAAUCAUGUUACUAGGUUAAAUAUUUACACUUACAUUUAUUUUUUUGUUUUUUACAACAAAAAAAACCCAACUGUUGUAGCCUUUAAUUAGAUUAACCAUUCUUUAUGUGAUUUAUUAAUUCAAAUAUUUUUAAUUUGUUUUUUUUAAUACAAACAUCAUCAUUUCAAUUUUCAAUUUAAAAUUUUUAUGCUAUCAAAACACAUGUUCAGAGGUCUGACUUGUCAUCCAAUGGAGUCGAUGAGAUUAGUCCAACCAUACAUGCACUUCAUGGAACAAGCUAGCCAGCUGACACAGGAGGCAAAGAGGAAUGAAACUUGGCAUAUCCCACUUUUGAGAGUAGCUUUUGUUACAAUGUUUUGAUCGUGGUAACAGUGUUUUUUAAAAUAUUUUUAUUCAAGGAUAUAUUAAAACAAUUUAUUUAUUUUUAUUUUUAAAAUUUUAUUUUUAAUAUUAACAUAUUAAAACAAUCUAAAAUUAAUAUAAAAUUUAAAAAAUAAAAAAAUCUAAUAAUACCUUUUAAACACAAAAACAAAGAAUUUGCAAGUACAAUCUGAAUUAAUAAACAAACCAUCAAAGCAAAUUGUACUGAAAAUAAAUUUAGUUUUACCAACUAGUAUUUGCAUCACUAAAUUUUAGUCAUGAAUAAGAAAAAUAAAUAAAUAAUAGUGUUAAGAGUUUUUGACCACUUGACUUGUGAUGCGUAUCAAUUACAAUAAAAAAUAAAAAAUAAAAAUUGACAACCAACCACAUAAUUUCUGACCAUAUGACGUCAUAAUUUUUUUCAAAAACAAUAAGAUCGUCUUAAAAAUACAUCUGAAUUUUAUUUAAUAGAAAAUUUAAAACAUACUCUAAAUUCUUGCAAAUGAACCUCAACACGAAAUACACAAAGAAGAAGAAGGUCAAACCAAUGAGACAAGUGCUGAUGGCAAGCCCCAAUGAAGAUUCUAGAACUGUAUAUGUGCCUGUGAUGAAUGCGAUAAUCAUUGUACCCAUGCCAAUCAUGGUCAACAAUGUGGCAACCCAAAAUAAUUUCUCAGUGGUUCCUACAUCAUCUAUCUCUUUAUCCUUUACCAUUUCAAAACCUUUAAUCAGUGAAAUUAAAAAGUGGAUAAAAACAGCUAAAAUAGAGAGCACCAACGACAUUGUAUCUGAUACAACAAAUGCUAUAAAAGCAGCUUUUUUAGCAAGAAUUGCAGUGCCUCGAUCGCUCUUGUAACCGCCAGGUAAGGUGAAUGCUGCUGCAAAUGUUACCGUUGCUAUUAACGCCGCAACAACUAGUUGAGACUCUCUUGCUUUACUCAAAGCAUCCUUUAACUCUUUCUUUCUCUCAACAUUCUCUAUUCUCAAAACUCGACUACCAAGCGGUCCACUGCCAAUAUCUUCAAGGGAUUCUAAGAUCUCUUUCUGCAAAAUAUUUAGGGUAAAAUAUAGUAGAUUUCCAUCAUUUUUGGCUAUUUAUCAAAUAUUAUAAAUCAACUUCCGGACCUUUGUUUUUGUUUCCGCAACAACUUUGUUUGCAAUCAAAUCCUUUCUGUUACUGUAUAUAUUAGUAGGUAACAAAAACUAAUUUGGUUGAAAUUAAAAUGCAUGCUUUUAUUUCCUAAGAUUAAUUUUAUAUUAAAUUUCCUAAGAUUAUAUUAAGUUUCUCUUAGAUUUUUCAACUUUAAUUCUCAGAUUUUUAAAAUUUUAAUUAAUUGUAUUUUUUUUCAUUCAUUUGUAAUACUUUUGUUUUUUUAUUGAAUAAUAUAUGUUUUUAUAAAACAGUUACAUGCGAAUCAUAUGCAUAAUCUGUUAUUGUAGAUGAAAAACUUAACAAAAUCAAUAAAAUGACUUCAUUCCAAAUAUAAAAAAAUUAUUAAGUUAUUCGGAUUACACUUUAUUUUUAUAUUUAGUACUUCUGAUAUAGAUAAUUUUUAAAAGUAUUUUUUUAUUGUAAAAUAUUUAAAAAUAAUUUUUUUAUAUUUUAUUUUAUUUUUAAUAUCAGCUUAUCAAAAUUAUACAAAAAAAUAAUUUAAUUUUUUUAAAUAAAAUACAUUUUUAAAACAAAACAAAAAAUAGAAGAUACUCCUAAGAUGAUACAGAACUGAGCCCAACUGAACAAAAGUUAUGUGGACCUACUUGGUGGACAUGAUUAAGAUGCGGAGCUAAGAGAAUCUUAGAUGCAAAGUAAAACCAGUUUGCUGUGAUUUAAUUGAUUCAUUAAUUGAUUUAAUUGUGAAUCACAACAGUUAAUUCAUAGAGGAUUGAUUACCUGUAUCUCUCCAAAAUCUCUCAACACGUUGAUGACGCUUAGCUUUCGCUUAUUAAGACCAUAUUUCUCAUCUUCAAUAUAACCAUAUUCAAAAAAAACACGUCUCCAUGGCUUCAGCUCGCGCGCUAAAGCAGCAAUUAGAUGGAAGGGCGUGUUUCCAUUGUCAUCCUUCUUCGAUUUAAGUCUCUCAAGUAAUGGAAUCCUCAGACAUUCCUUGAAUACUUCGGUUCUCUUACUGGCCACAGCAUAGUGAAGGGCAUUCCAACCUCUGUUAUCAACUAGCUCACAACAAGCUGGGCAUCGAGAAACAAUCUCUUUCAUUAUUCCUACAUGUCCUUGAAUGGCAGCAAUGUGAAGAGCUGUUCUCUUCUUCUCUGUUUCAGCAAUGUAGGCCGCGGACGCAUCAUAUUUUAGUAAUACUUUCACUGUAAGAGCACACCAGUCAUAAAAGGCAGCGUAGUGAAGUGGUGACCAACCGUUCUCAUCGGUUGUUUUCGUCAACGUUUUUUCUUUUUCUAACAAUUUUCUUGCUGUCCCUGAAACCAUCAAAACAAGGAAUAAAAGUUAUCCUUCAUGAACAACAGAGAUUUCACUUAUGCCCCGUUUUAUAAUUUCUUUUAGAAAACUAGUUUCUAAAAUAAUUUUCUAGAAAAUAAAUUAUUUUUCAUGUUUUGUAGAAAAAUAAAUUGUAAAACACUUUUCAACUAUAUUAUUAAAAUUAAGCUGAAAAAUAAAUUAUUAAUAUAUUUUUUUUCAUGUUUAUUAAAAUAAUAAAAAACAAAUCUUACUAAUUAAAAAGUUGAAUAAGAAUAAAAUUGAAAAAAAAAUUUAAUUUCAUAAAUGAUUUCAAAUCAAAUAAAUAAGAUCACGAAGAUUAAAUCUAACUGAUAAAAAAAGUUGAAAAAUAAUAAAAUUAAAAAAUAAAGACUAAAUUUUAUAAAUAAAUAAAAAUCAAUUAAUGAUAAGAGAAAAAAAAUAAUAAUGAUAAAAAUGAGGAUCAUGAUUGCCAGACUUGAGCACAAAAUCCUACCUUCAUCUGUCUUCAUGAUUGCCGCGUGUAGAGCAGUUCUACCAUUAGGGCCGCCAUAGUCCACUGAAAUGCAAUUAGUUAGGAUUUCAUCGAUCACCUUUUGUUGACCCCGCCAGUCAGAAGCAGCUGCAAUAUAAAGUGGAGUUUCUCCAUGAACAUUGGCGGAAUAUGAAAACUCAGGGUCCUCUUUUGUCAAUAUUUCAACCAACUGGCUCCGCCUAUGUCGAGCUGCCUCGUGCAACGCUGUAUCUUGCUCUUCAUUGGUCAUCCUCAACAUCUUUUUUGCUUCUGUUACUCCGCUCUCUGGAUCUGAAGGUAGAGCUUUUGCGCGGUAAAUGAGGACCUUUACCACUUUGGAAAGACCAUAUCUUGCUGCCAAAUGGAGGGGGGUUUCUCCUUUCUUAUUGGCUUGGAAUAACAGAGGUGGACACAUUUCAAGAAUUAUAUCAACAAAAUCAGUGAAUUCCGGUUCCCUACUAUGGUUUCCUAAGUAGACAAGAAGAAUGGUGUUCUCGUCUGGAGUCAAUAACUGAUCAAGGCGGGUUUGAUAAUUCUCAAAGGGAUCGAUAUUGCCUUCCUCCGCAGCUUUGUACAAGACAGGAUCCAUAUAGGGAUCGAUGCUAUUCAUUUUCUCAGAAGAAUCCAUUUUGUAGCUUAGAGAACUGACUAAAUGAAAUGUAAGCAAAUAAAGGGGAGGAGAAAUCACUGUGGCUCAAAGGUAAGAGGUUACACUCCUCAACUGAUCACAAGCUGCUGAUUU